RNAcentral lists this long non-coding RNA (54981 nucleotides) under Zea mays. Its description in RNAcentral is "long non-coding RNA (ZMAY_LNC002741)". Lineage: Eukaryota; Viridiplantae; Streptophyta; Magnoliopsida; Poales; Poaceae. The record is from RNAcentral.
CCACUAUACAUGAAAUCAGAUGAGAAUCACAUGUAUAGCAACGCCACAUAGUGGAUUAUAUCAAAACACAUUGAUUUAUUAUAUCGAAAUCAGUAUUAAUUAGAUAACGACUAUGCAACAAUAUCAUUGACGACUAUCAAUAUUUGUCACCGUGUGUAUAAUAAUACGUAUAUUAUUAUCACCAAGAUUAUGCAAUGUAAACCAAAUAGUCGACGUGUUUAUAUAUACUUAGAGAUACAUAUACCUGCUACUACUUUCUUAUUUGUAGGUAGGCACGUACUUUUUGCUAGUAGGUGCUUACAUUAGUCUUGUUGUAAAUAUUUGGUGGUCACAUUGCACUAGUACACAGAAGCUCAAUAUUGGCAGUCUUAGAGAUAUUUACACUAGCGACUUUUAGUGCCGCUGCUGCUAGGUGCUAGUGGAAAUCAUCCUUUUUAUUGACGGUUGUUGUGCAACCGCCAGUGAAAAUAUCAUUUUCACCGACAGCUGUAUUAAACAAACCGCCAGUGGAAAUAACAUUUCCACCGGUAACUUUAUUAUGCAAACCGCCGUCAUUUCCUCGGACACAGCUGUCACACCCGGUUUUAGAAGGCAAACCGAAUGCGAACCAUGUACGUGCCAGGAUCAGUUUUUCACGUACACAGCAGUUACAUAAUAUGGACAUCAUCACACAGUGCUCAAAAUAGUAUUAAUAAGGGAAAUAGUCGAUUACAUCAUACGUCUGAGACGUCCAUAUAGUUCUUACAAUAAAUCAAAGUGCGGAAAAGAAACGUAGAUAACGCGGCCUUCACAGGCAGCCGACUGGGGGUUGCCGCUAACCCACACCUAGAACUCGUCGUAAUCUUGGAACUCCUGGAAGUCUCCUUCCACAGCUUCAUCUUCGCCUGAGCAGUGGUUGCAAUGCUGACAACCUGGGGGGGGGUUUGGUGUGUAGAGCAAGGGUGAGUACACAUCAACAUACUCAGCAAGUAUCCUGUUUGGCUGUAGUGGACUAGCUUUAUGUGGGGAUAAGUCAAGCAGUUGCUUUUAGUUGGUCAGGUUAUUACUUACUAGUAGAAAGCCAAGUUUUAGCAUUAACCCAAGUUAUUAACCCGAUGUACCCUUUCCAAACGGAAAGAAUACCACUUACCAGCAUCAUAGUCAUAACCAGAAUCAACAGUCUCAUAACCACCUGUACCACAAUGUCUCUGAUCAAGUAUCACUAAUCACUGGAGCUCCCUUGGCCGCUCAUAACCGCGAGCACGGCUGAUAUAUCAGUUUCAUAACACUCUGCAGAGGUUGUGCACUUUACCCACAAGCCGUGAUUCCCAUUCUGCCCGGAGAUCAUGACUCUCCAUUGAUCACUACCAAGGUGAUCCAGCAGGGCAUCACUACGAAGCCUUUACAAAGAUUCCCCGGGGCUGUAGCCACCCGUUAGGUUUCCUAAAUGCACCGCACUCCUCCCCAAGGGGCGAACCCAAACUUGGCAGAGCGAGCCGCAUACACCGAGCCCCAUUGACGGCACGACGGCUAAGUGAACUACACCCCGGAUCCUCUAAUUAUUCAGCUAAGGGCACCCCAUUCCACCCUCAUGGUUGCACUGUUUUCCCGGGCGGUCAUCCAUAGAACAGGUCCUUACGGAGAGGCACUCGAGAAACCGCUCGAGUCCCCUUGAAAAACCACAAGUAUAAUCAUAAAGAAGAACGGGAAAACAGCGUAUCAUAGAUAAUCACAUCAUGUUCAUUGAUUAGAGUUGAGCAAUAGCAUCAGACUAAGUAGUAAUAAUCCGACCCAAAUAGGUAAACAAGGACAUGGAUAACAAAAAGCUAGUCAAUCCUUAGGUAUAAAUGUGUAAUGCGGGAGGUGAAUUAAAGAAUGAAUAGGACAUAGAUAGGUCAAAGGACACUUGCCUCCACCAAACGACUGCUGCUCAGGGGCUUCUCCUGCGAAUUCCUCGGGCUCUUCGACCGGAUCGUUCUCUAUGCGAGCGCAAACAUACAUACAUACAUCCACAUAUUUAAUACAAAAGAACAGUACACCAUACAAGAUAACAAAUAAAGCGAAUAUGCAUCAAGUAUGACAUUCGAUAACGCAUUUGUUAUGGUCAGAAAGAAACGGGAAAGGUCUCGCAGGGGGUUAAAUCUUAUGCACUAAUGACACAAUUGGUUUUUAACAAAAGAAUUCUGUUACAUAUACACUAAUGGAAACCUAAUCACUUUUAAUUGAUCAACAUUGCACAGGGUAAACAAUUAACUACGUGCAUCAAUAGCAUAACGGAAUUUUAAAUUAAACUUCCUAUUUUCCCAUAGCAUGAACAGUGAUUAGCCUACUUAAAAUACAGUAAUUAUGAUCACAGAAAGUAAAUAAAAUAAAAUAAAAAUAAAUAAAAAAAAAGAAAAAAGGGGGGGGGCGGUUGAACCGGCCCUAGGGCGGUUGAACCGGCCCUAGGCGGGGCGCGGGCGCGGGCGGCCGAACCGGCGGGGCAGGGGGCGGCGCAGGGGGCGGCCGAGCCGGGGGGCGGGGCGGCCGAACCGGCGGGCAGGGAGGCGGCCGAACCGGCCAUGGGGAAAGAGGAGAGGGGAUGGGGGAGAGAGGAGAGGGGGAGGGGGAGCUCACCGGGGAGGGGCGCGACGGCGAGGGGCGGCCGGCGGCAGGGGCGGCUGAGGGCGGCGGUUGGGCAGGGGGCGGCGGCGGCUUAGGGCAGGGGUAGGGGCGGCGGCUUAGGGAGAGGGAGAGAAAAUGAGAGAAAAUGAGAGGGAGAGGGAGAGGGUUUGGGGAAAAAGGGGAGGUGGGGGGGGGCGGUUGGGCCUAUUGGGCCCAGGGGGGGGGUGCGCAGGGGCCUGGGCCGGCCGGGGUCGGCCCACGGCGCGGGAGAGAGAAAAAAAAAAGGAGGAGAGAGAAAGAGAGAGAGAAAAGAGAAAGAAAAGAGAAAGAAAACAUUUUCGAAAUCCGAUCUUUCUACAUGAAUGCAAUUGCACUUUCAAAGCAAUCAAAAGAAAUGCAAGGUUCGGCAUGGUGCAUCAAACAACAUAAAGUAUUUAGGGUUUUUUCUUACACGGGAAUUCCAAACCGAAUCCCGCUAGAACUUUGGAAAAGGUCAAGGUUUAGCGAGGGAAAAAGAAAAGGGAAAGGUAACGCCCGAAUUUUGGCGAGUAAAGAAAAGAAAAAAAUUCAACUGCAAAAUUCGGGGCGUUACAAACCUAUCCCCCUUAAAAGAAUCUCGCCCUCGAGAUUCAGGGCUGGCUAGCAAAGAGCUCCGGGUACUUGGCCAUCAGAUCAUCUUCACGCUCCCAGGUUGCUUCUUCCUCAGAGUGGUGACUCCAUCUGACUUUGCACAUUCUGACGGUCUUCCUUCGGGUGACUCUAUCUGCAACCUCAAGGAUCUGAGCUGGCUUCUCAACGUAGGUCAAGUCCUCCUGGACUUCAAGACCUUCCACUGGCAACUGCUCUUCUGGCACACGCAAGCACUUCUUCAACUGAGACACAUGAAAGACAUCAUGCACAGCAGACAAAUUCUCUGGCAAACUGAGCUGAUAAGCCACUUCUCCACGUCUUGCAAGAAUCUGAUACGGACCAAUGUAGCGGGGUGCUAGCUUGCCUUUCACUCCGAAUCUUCUGACUCCUCUGAUCGGUGACACUUUCAGAUAAACAAAGUCUCCGACUUCGAAACUCAGCUCUCUUCUUCUUGUGUCUGCAUAGCUUCGCUGCCUUGAUUGCGCUAUCUUCAGAUUCUCUCGGACCAUCUUGAUGUUCUCUUCGGCUUCAAGCAAAAUAUCUGGCCCAAACACUUGCUUCUCUCCAGGUUGAUCCCAUUGCAACGGAGUUCUACAACUCCUUCCAUAAAGCGCUUGAAACGGUGACAUCUUCAAACUGGCCUGAUAACUGUUGUUAUAGGAAAACUCUGCAUAAGGCAAUCUCUUAUCCCAUCCGGACUGAUCUUGCAACGCACAGGCUCUCAACAUAUCUUCAAGAAUUUGAUUGGUUCUUUCAGUCUGACCAUCUGUCUGCGGGUGAUAAGCUGAACUGAAAUUCAGAUGCGUGCCCAAGGCUUCAUGCAACUGCUGCCAGAAAUGAGAGGUGAACUGCGUUCCUCUGUCUGACACUAUCUUCUUUGGCACACCAUGAAGACAAACGAUCCGAGACAUAUACAAUUCUGCCAAUACUGCACUGUUGUAAUUGGUCUUGACAGGUAUGAAGUGGGCUGACUUGGUCAAGCGGUCCACUACUACCCAAAUGGAAUCGUAGCCGGCUCGAGUGCGAGGCAAUCCGACUAUGAAAUCCAUGCCAAUUUCAUCCCAUUUCCACUGAGGGAUCUGCAACGGUUGCAACAAUCCAGCUGGUCUCUGGUGUUCUGCCUUAAUUCUUCGACAACUAUCGCACAUAGCCACAUGCUCUGCGAUUUCUCUUUUCAUUCCGUACCACCAGAAUUUCUUCUUCAGAUCCUGAUACAUCUUCUCACUGCCAGGGUGAAUCGAAUAAGCUGUCUCAUGAGCUUCCUUAAGAAUCAACUCCCGAAUAGACUGGACAUUGGGAACACACAAGCGGUCUUUGAACCAUACCACUCCUUCUGCAUCUUCUCGAAAAUCUUUGCCUCUGCCAUCUAGAAUCAAUCGCCGAAUCUCACUGAUCUUUUCAUCAUUCUUCUGCGCUUCUUUGAUUUCGCGCUCCAAGGUAGGUUCCAACUCAACUGUGACUCCUCGCGAAUUAUUCAGAAAUCCGAGACUCAACCUGUCAAACUCCUUGGCCAACUCAUAAGGCAUCGGACGAGCGACCAUCAGAUUGACUUGACUCUUUCUGCUCAAAGCAUCUGCCACUACGUUUGCUUUGCCUGGAUGGUAAUGAAUCUCCAACUCAUAGUCUUUGAUCAAUUCUAACCAUCUUCGUUGCCUCAUGUUCAAUUCUGACUGAGUGAAUAUGUACUUCAGACUCUUGUGGUCUGUGUAAACAUCGCAUUUCUGUCCAUACAGAUAGUGCCUCCAUGUCUUCAGUGCGUGAACCACUGCUGCCAACUCUAGAUCAUGGAUUGGGUAAUUCUUCUCAUGAACCUUCAGCUGUCGGGACGAGUAAGCCACAACUCUUCCCUCUUGCAUCAACACACAUCCCAAACCUGUGUAACAAGCAUCACAAUACACCGAGAAAGGCUUGUGCACAUCAGGCAAGACUAGGACAGGCGCUGUUGUCAACUUCUCUUUCAGCGCUUCAAAGGCCUCUUGGCAUUUCUGGGUCCACUUGAACUCAACCUUGUUGCCUAGCAACGCUGUCAUUGGCUUCGCAAUCUUCGAAAACCCUUCAAUGAAUCGCCGAUAAUAUCCGGCCAUUCCAAUGAAACUCUUGAUUCCUCUAGCAUCUGUUGGCGCUUUCCAGUUUAGAAUGUCUGCCACUUUCUUCGGAUCCACUGCCAAUCCUUCUUUGUUGAUUAUGUGACCCAAGAACAGGACUUCACUGAUCCAGAACUCACACUUGCUCAACUUUGCAUACAACUGGUGCUCUCGCAAUCUCUGCAACACCAUCCUCAAAUGAUCCGCAUGCUCUUCUUCGCUUUGAGAAUAAACCAGAAUGUCAUCAAUGAAUACCACCACAAACUUAUCAAGAUAAUCCAUGAAUACACUGUUCAUCAAGUUCAUAAAGAAUGCUGGCGCAUUGGUCAAACCAAAAGACAUCACUGUGAACUCAUAUAAACCAUACUUGGUAAUGAAUGCCGUCUUCGGAAUGUCCGAAGGUCGGAUCCUGAGCUGAUGAUAACCUGACCUCAGAUCGAUCUUGGAGAACACACUGGCUCCUCUCAACUGGUCGAACAGAUCUUCUAUUCUGGGCAAAGGAUACUUGUUCUUGAUCGUGACUUCAUUCAAAGCUCGAUAAUCGAUACACAUCCUCUUAGUACCAUCUUUCUUCUCCACAAACAAGACAGGGGCGGCCCAAGGCGAGGUGCUUGGCCGGAUGUAACCUUUCUCUGACAGCUCAUCAAUCUGCUUCUUAAGCUCAACCAACUCUGGUCCAGAUAUUCUGUAAGCUCUCUUAGAGAUGGGGGCGGUUCCAGGAAGAAGCUCUAUAGCAAAUUCAACUUUCCGCUCUGGUGGCAUACCCGGUAAAUCCUUUGGAAACACAUCUGGGAAUUCAGACACAACCUUAAUACUCUCAAUUGGGUCUGCUUCACUGCUAUCGACAGCCAUCUGAUAACAACUUCCUUUCUUCGGCUCAGGCGGGACUAACUCGGUCACCACUUCCUCUCCUAGUGGGGACACCAACUUUAUUGUCCUUUUAUCACAACUGAUAACUGCCUGAUACUUAUCUAACCAAUUCAUCCCUAGGAUGACAUCUAUUCCCUGAGUACCCAUUACUAUAAGGUUGGCGGGAAACGCUAUCCCCCUUAUUUCCACACUUACAUUUAAACAAAUGCUAUCAGCUCGAAUUCUACCACCAGCUGAGUCAAUUUGAAUGGGGGUUAACAUGGUAGUAGUUGGAAGAUUAUGUGCUUCUACCCAUGAUGCAGUAAUGAAAGAAUGUGUUGCUCCAGUAUCAAAUAACACUUCUGCAAUAUGGGAAUCGACUGGGAACAUACCUACUAUCAUGCCGGGGGUCUCCUGAACUGCUUCAGCCUCCAAGUGAUUCAAUCUUCCAUGAUUAUAGCGCUGCUGAGAGCGAUUGCCUGCUCCAGGCUGAGACACAUUCUGCUUUGCUGGGGCAUUGGGGCCUGACUGCUGCUGGGCUGCCUUCUUCGGACAUUGCAUCACCCAGUGGCCCUGCUCUCCACAGUGGAAACAUGCCCUGUUUCCAACUUGAGCUGGUGUUGCCUGACUGUUCUGCUGAUUUGCUGGGGCAGGAAGACGAGGUGCUUGCUGACCCUGCUUCUGAAACUGACCUCCUGACUGAUUGCUCUGACGGUUCUGGUACUGAUUCUGAGGGUACUGCCUUUGAAACUGCUGAUACUGCUGACGCUGCUGAUGCUGCUGAGGUGGACGCUGGUUCUGCCUGAACUGCUGAGGUUGAUUGCCUGAGAAACGGGGACGGCUGCUGCUUCCAGGCUGGGGUCCACUGAUCUUGCGCUUACGAUCUUCCAUCUCCUUGCGCUUCCUUUCUGUCAUGAUUGCUCUGUCAAUCAGGUGCUGGAAUGUCGGGAAGGUGUGAUUCAUCAGUUGAUACUGCAGAGGGUCAACCAAGCCUCUCAGAAAACGGUACUGUCGCUUGGCAUCGGUGUUGACAUCUUCAGGAGCGUAGCGAGACAAUUGCAGAAACCUGUCUCGAUACUCACUGACAGAUGAUGACCCUUGCUUAAGGGCCAGGAACUCCUCCUUCUUCACUGUCAUCAGACCUGCAGGCACAUGGUACUGACGAAAGCUAUCUCUGAAUUCUUCCCAGGUGAUGGCGUCGGGGUUGGCAUGGGUGGCGAGGUAAGACUCCCACCAUGACUGGGCUGCUCCUCUCAACAGACGGGGACCAUACAGAACUUUCUCUCUGUCAUCGCACUGAGCGGUAUGCAACUCCCGCUCCACAGUGCGCAGCCAAUCUUCAGCAUCCAUGGGGUCAGAAGAGUGAGCGAACGUUGGUGGAUGACCUCUCAUGAAUUCGGCACGCUUGUCUCUAGGCAUCUGAGGCAUCUGAGGCUGGGGUGGUGCUUGCUGCUGUUGCUGCUGCUGCUGCUGCUGAAUGGCGGCCAAAGUCUGACCGAUGGCUUGAACUGCCUGAGUCUGCAUCAGAAACAUCUGCUCAAUCGACAUCGGGGGCGGGGGCGGCAGGUGCUGCUGCUGGGGCACCUCAUCCUGCGGAGCGGCUCGCUCCUGCUGAGCACGCCUUCCUCCUCUACGCCUGUUCUCUGACAUCUGCAGAAUGCAACCACACAUCAGAACUGAUCUGGCAAAGCUUGCAGCAUAAGAAAAGAGUAUAGAAUUCUCCAACAGCACUGAACAGAUGAGCAUCUUCACUGAUCUCCAACACAGACCACACAGCUUCUCAGAUAAAGAGGAAAGGAGAAUAAUGGGUUUCCCAACUAUAUAACUAACUUUAUUGACAUAGUAUGUAAACCAAAAUGCAGGGGAUACCCACACUCUGGUGACAAUCAUUACAAAGAUCCAAACCAGACAUAGUCCAUCAUGACAAACAUAAAUGCACAUAUUUAAUACAAAAGAACAGUACACCAUACAAGAUAACAAAUAAAGCGAAUAUGCAUCAAGUAUGACAUUCGAUAACGCAUUUGUUAUGGUCAGAAAGAAACGGGAAAGGUCUCGCAGGGGGUUAAAUCUUAUGCACUAAUGACACAAUUGGUUUUUAACAAAAGAAUUCUGUUACAUAUACACUAAUGGAAACCUAAUCACUUUUAAUUGAUCAACAUUGCACAGGGUAAACAAUUAACUACGUGCAUCAAUAGCAUAACGGAAUUUUAAAUUAAACUUCCUAUUUUCCCAUAGCAUGAACAGUGAUUAGCCUACUUAAAAUACAGUAAUUAUGAUCACAGAAAGUAAAUAAAAUAAAAUAAAAAUAAAUAAAUAAAAAGAAAAAAGGGGGGGCGGUUGAACCGGCCCUAGGGCGGUUGAACCGGCCCUAGGCGGGGCGCGGGCGCGGGCGGCCGAACCGGCGGGGCAGGGGGCGGCGCAGGGGCGGCCGAGCCGGGGGCGGGGCGGCCGAACCGGCGGGCAGGGAGGCGGCCGAACCGGCCAUGGGGAAAGAGGAGAGGGGAUGGGGGAGAGAGGAGAGGGGGAGGGGGAGCUCACCGGGGAGGGGCGCGACGGCGAGGGGCGGCCGGCGGCAGGGGCGGCCGAGGGCGGCGGUUGGGCAGGGGGCGGCGGCGGCUUAGGGCAGGGGUAGGGGCGGCGGCUUAGGGAGAGGGAGAGAAAAUGAGAGAAAAUGAGAGGGAGAGGGAGAGGGUUUGGGGAAAAAGGGGAGGUGGGGGGGGGGGCGGUUGGGCCUAUUGGGCCCAGGGGGGGGUGCGCAGGGGCCUGGGCCGGCCGGGGUCGGCCCACGGCGCGGGAGAGAGAAAAAAAAAGGAGGAGAGAGAAAGAGAGAGAGAAAAGAGAAAGAAAAGAGAAAGAAAACAUUUUCGAAAUCCGAUCUUUCUACAUGAAUGCAAUUGCACUUUCAAAGCAAUCAAAAGAAAUGCAAGGUUCGGCAUGGUGCAUCAAACAACAUAAAGUAUUUAGGGUUUUUUCUUACACGGGAAUUCCAAACCGAAUCCCGCUAGAACUUUGGAAAAGGUCAAGGUUUAGCGAGGGAAAAAGAAAAGGGAAAGGUAACGCCCGAAUUUUGGCGAGUAAAGAAAAGAAAAAAAUUCAACUGCAAAAUUCGGGGCGUUACAACAGCUCUAUGUAAUUGUUGUGUACAUGAAUUGCUGAUCCUAACACGGAUAUGGUUCGCAUUCGGUUUGCCUUCUAAAACCGGGUGUGACAGUACCGUCGUGUAUUGAUUUUUAACGCGCAUAAGAAUAUUGUGCUUGCUUUUUGGGUUUUGACAUGGUGGUUAGGUAGCAACGGUGCAUAAUUAUAUAUGAAGUAUAGUUUUGGGAGACUUUAUCAAAUACUAACUUUCAUGUGGUUUUUAUGUAAAUCUUGGUGAAUUAUAAGGUAUAAGCCCAAAUAAUACUCGUUAUUAAAAUUGGAAUGCAUCAAAGUGCCAAACAUUGGACCGUAAGUAAGGAAUUAUUCGUUAGUAUAUAUUGCAUAUGUACCUUGUCCAUUUUUAUUACUCAUGUGAUCGAAAGCGGUGGUCCAUUGACGGGUGGAUUGUAUUGAAAGUUGUGGCAACAUUAAUCGAAGGAAGGGAUGGUGGAUACUACUAGUAUUGGGAAGUUUUGCCAUAAGUGUGACAAGUAGACCUUCAAGAUUUCCCAUAACAUAAUUGCCCUUAAAAAGACUAUAAUAUAUAAUCACAUCUCUAGGCAAUCGAUAAUAAACAUGAGACAUAAUUAUUUAUUAUUAAAUAUAUUGAUUAACACAAUCACUGAAGUACAAGUAGAGCCAUCACACACGUACAUAUUUUAAACCAACCAUGCAAGGAACUUUAGAUAUCACACUCGCUCGCAGUAUUCAAAUCAAAUUUGUGCGUAAUCCAUCAAGGCGUAAUAAAAUUGAAGGCUUGGCAUUAUGGAUAGAUGAUGUUUAUAAACAUCCUUAACAGGAAUUUCAAAAAUGAAAUCCGGAGAACUUGACCGAAGGUGCAUUGUAUGGCAUAAUUGAAGACCUAUGCACAUUCGUAUUGAAAGAGGUCAUUCCCGCUGAAGGGAAAUGUCAUGAUGCUUCCAGUACAUUAGCUAUGCCAGAGUUUAGAAUACUAACAGAAGUUAGUAGACUAUCUCUUAGACGAGAUAGUUAUCAGAGCUUAGGUGAAAAAUUUCGAUGUAUAGAAUGUGUGAAGCUUAUAUGGUUGUAAACAAAAGACUUUGAUGUAUAGAAUGUAUGAUAGAAUUUAAUUCCAUGUUGCUUUCAAUAUGUGUGCGUGUGUGUAAAUAAAUAUAAAAAUCAGUUUUGUUUGAAAAUUUCAAAAAAGUCGGGAAAACUUAUACUGGCGAGAAAUACUAAGGAAACCACCAGUGAAAAGAACAAUUCCACUUGCGAUUUUAUUAAGAAAACUGCCCAUGAAAAUAACUUUUGCACUGGCGAUUUGCUUAAUACAGCUGCCAGUGGAAAUAACAUUUCUACUGGCAGCUGUAUUAAGCAAACCACAAGUGGAAAUAACAUUUCCACUAGCGCUUUAUUAAGCAAACCGCCUGGCGGCUUUAUUAAGCAAACCGCUAGUGGAAAUAAACUUCCACCGGCGGUUUGCUCAGCCGCUAGUGGAAAUGCUAUUUUCACUAGCCGCUGCAAAACAACUGCCAGUGAAAACGCCGAUUUCCACUAGCCUGUAACACGAGUGGCACUAGAAAAUGCCAGUGCAAAUAGCUCUAGGACCGCCACUAUAGAGCUUCUGCGUACUAGUGCAAUCCGACCACUAAAUAUUUACUACAAGACUGAUGUAAGCACCUACUAGCAAAAAUAUGUGCCUACCUACAAAUAAGAAAGUAGUAGCAUGUAUAUGUAUCUCUAAAUAUAUAUAAACACGUCGACUAUUUGGUUUACAUUGCAUCAUCUCGGUGAUAAUAAUAUAUGUAUUAUUAUACACACGGUGACAAAUAUUGAUAGUCGUCAAUGAUACUGUUGCAUAGUGGUUAUCUAAUAAAUACUGGUUUUGAUAUAAAAAAUCAAUGUGUUAUGAUAUAAUCCAUUGUGUGACAUUGCUAUACAUGUGAUUCUCAUCCGAUUUCAUGUAUAGUGGAACAUCUGGUUUUGUCCUUAGAACCGGGUGUGACAUACUUCACAGGCGGCCACAUACUUAGAAACGUCAACCUUCAUCCGCUUCCACCAGAAGUUUUGCUUCAGAUCUCGGUACAUUUUGGUUUCGCCAGGGUGAACGGUGUAAGGCAUUUUAUGAGCUUCUCCCAAGAUAUCCAUCUUCACCUAUGAUUUCUGAGGCACACAAAGGCGGCCCCUAAAACGAACCAAAUCAUUCUCAUCAAUGGAGAACUCCCGGGGUUAACCAUCGCCAACCCUCUUUCGAGCUUCGUGCAAUAAAUGAUCCUGCUGCUGAGCUGCACACACUCUUUCCAUGAGGGAAGAUUGAAUAAGCAUACAAGUCUCCUCACUAGCGGUGCCGACAUAGCACAAAGCGAUCCCCAAACGGUCCAGAUCAGCGAUCAACGGCAAGGCCACUUUUGGAACCCCGGACCUGCUAAGGGCAUCAUCCACCACAUUUGCCUUCCCCAGGUGAUAUUGAAUGGACAAAUCAUAAUCUUUAAUCAAUUCGAGCCAUCAACGCUGCCUCAAAUUUAGCUCCUUCUGAGUGAAAAUAUACUUGAGACUUUUAUGAUCGGUGUAAAUGUCACAAGCCUCGCCAUAAAGAUAAUGCCUCCACGACUUUAGAGCAAAAACCAUCACGACCAAUUCAAGAUCAUGAGUUGGAUAAGCAAUCACUUUGCCUUCCUGCAUCAACACACAGCCAAGACCAAUUCGCGAAGCAUUCAUAUAAACUGUGAAACGCUUACCGCUCUCUAGCAAAGCUAGGAUAGGGGCGUCCACCAACUUGUUCUUCAAUGUCUGAUAACUGACCUCACAAUCGUUGGACCAGACGAAGAGAACACCCUUCUCCAAGAGUCUAGUCAAAGGCUUAGAAAUGCUGGAAAAAUUUGGUACGAAGCGCCGAUAAUAUCCAGCGAGCCCCAAGAAACUUCGGAUUUCAGAGACACUAGAGGGUCUCUUCCACUCCACCACAGCCGCAACAUUUUUGGGAUCAACCGCAAUGCCCUGCUGAUUAAUCACAUGCCCCAGGAAAGCCACUUCGGACAGCCAAAAGGCACACUUCUUUAACUUGCCAUAUAACUGAUUCUUCCUAAGGGCACCCAGAACGAGACGGAGAUGCUGCUCAUGCUCAGCCCGGUCUUUGAAUAAAUCAUAAUAUCAUCCAGGAACAUGACCACAAAGUCAUCCAAGAACUCAUGCAACAUCCUAUUCAUUGCUUCCAUAAAAGCAGCAGGGGCAUUAGUUAAGUCAAACGGCAUGACUAUGAACUCAUAAUGCCCAUACCUGGUGCAAAAAGCGGUCUUCUCAAUAUCCUCCUCACGAAUCCUCAAUUGAUGAUAACCAGAGUUCAAAUCAAUUUUGGAGAACACCUGGGCACCCCUCAACUGUUCAAAGAGAACCUCAAUACGGGGUAGCGGAUAAUUAUUCUUGAUUGUCACUUGAUUCAAAGCGCGAUAAUCCACACAUAGCCUCUUGCUUUUAUCCUUCUUCUCAACAAACAAUACUGGGGAAGCCCAUGGAGACCUGCUAGGCCUAAUGAAACCCUUAGCCAGCAGAUCAUCCAAUUGUCGCUUCAAUUCAACCUGCUCCUUUGGGCCCAUCUGAUAUGGGGCCUUAUGAAUAGGCUGCGUACCCAAAAUCAGCUUGAUCUCAAAAGUUGCAUCGCGCUCCGGAGGAAUGCCUGGAAGCUCUGCUGGAAACACGUCGGCAAAGUCACACACCACCCGGAUGUCCUGCACCCGCAAGGCAGCCUCACCCUCCACCACCAUGGAGAAAAAGAUUCACGACUUCCUUGACCGGCAAUCCAGAAGCAAUUGCGCCAACAAGGAUAACGUGAACUUUGGGGAACUUCCCAAGAAUACCACCUCCCUACCCGAUGGCGCCUGCAAUAACAGUGUCUUCCAAAAACAGGAUAUGACUGCGCGAUACUGAGAUAACUAAUCCAUACCCAAGAUAACAUUGAAUGCCCCCAAGGAAAUCACAACAAGAUUGGCCGAAAAGACCUCAUCAGCAAGAAUGACGGAACACCCCUGACAAAUUGAACAGCUACUAAUGGAGCCAUUAGCAGAACUAACCAAAAUUGGGGACCCAACCUCUGCACCGAAAGACCAGCCCGCGACACAAAAUUCUCUGAAACAAACGAAUAGCUAGCGCCAGAGUCAAAAAAAGCAUGGGCCACAAACGAAUCAACUGAAAUCGUACCUGUCACCACGUCUCCUUGCUCUCUGCCAUCCGCAGCGGGUAGCACAUAAGCUCAGGAAAUACCCGCAGGAGAGGAAGCUCUUGGAGUGAAAUUAACAAAAGAACCCCACUAAGCCAUUGGGUGAGGCAGACGCGGAGCUCCAAACUGAGACGACAUAGGAGUAGUCGGUGCAGGAGUAGGUGCAGCCAGAUACUUAGGAAAACCCUGCAUCGGCAUGAACUGAGCAGUCCCAGGCACAUAAAACUGCUGCGGAGGAAGUGGAACUGAAAAUUGCUGCUCAGCGCUUGACAUCAUGUGUGAGAGUGCCCUGAGAAGAGGAGGAAGUCACUGGCUCCCAUCUGAGCUUCCUAUUGGGAUUCCUCCUACACACCACAUCCUUGUGGUCUUGACUGCAGAUUGAACACCUGCCAUUCCACUGGCACUCUGCACGACGAUGCGCAUCACCACAACCGAAACACACUAGACCCAGCCCGGGCUUAGGAACAGCCCAAAACCUCUGAGUACUUCCUCCUGAAGUACCCGAGUCAGAAGAUUUGCCACGAUAGGGAUGGUGGCGCUGAUGCUGAGACUUUCCCCUCUUGUGGGCUGGACCUCCAGUGUUGCCCCUCCUCGCGUCCUGGCCACGAGGCUGAUCAACACCCGAAGACUUCUGCAACUCCAUGGUAUACUGGUGUUGCAUCUCCACACCCAGUGCCUGCUCCACUGUAGUACGGAAGUCCACCAACGGAAAGGCUCCCAGUGCAUGCCUGAUAGAAGGUUUCAGACCCUGAUGGAACUGGCUCGCCUUCUCCAUCUCAUUAUAAGCCACAUGAGGGACAAAACGGACCAUCUUGUUGAAGCCCACUUCAUACUCUGUGACCGACUUCUUCUCUUGCUUGUAGGACUGCAAAUCAAUCUUCAUUUUCUCCAGGAAGGUGACCGGGUAGAACGUCCUCUCAAACUGCCUGAUAAAAACAUCCCAAGACAGGACUCCUCGUGAAGAGGAGUGAGCUGCCUGGACGCCCCUCCACCAAAUCUGAGCUUCUCCCUUCAGCAGCUGUGUGCCAAAGCAAACACGAUCACCAUACACAAUCUCGAAGACAUUCAUCUUAUCCUCCACGUAAGUUAGCCAAUCCGUCGCCUCGACCGGAGUACCACUGCCAUCAAAAGUAUCCAACUUCAUGCCCAUCCACUACAUCAGAGAAAGACCACUGACUGGAAGAGGCACCUCAACCCCGCCACCUGGAGCAGCAUCCGCAGGGACAGUGCCCCCGAGCACUCCUCCACCACCAGCACCCUGAGCAGCACCCGCAGGGGCAACAGGAAUAGCUUGCCUCAGAAUGGCCAACUCCUGCUGCAUGGCCUGCAUCGCGGCUAACAUUGCCGCCGGACUCAUCGAGUCCCCACUAGGAACUUGCGGACUGCCCCGAGCCCUACGAGGCAACAUAGCUGCAGCCAUAGGGGUGCGAAUAAUAAGUAAAUAAGAUUGGCAUAACAUCUCAACAGAUAAUGUCAAACUAGCACAGACAAUAACAUAACAUAUCAAUAGUAAAGCAGAAAACCCAUCCUACAUUUGCAGUGUGUCAAUUUAUUAUUAUUCCACUUGCUAGGACCUACAACAUAUUCCUCUGAUACCAACUAUAACACCCCACUGAUCCCACACAAUGGAUGUUACCAAAUACCCUUCCCACAAAACUGAUGCAACACAAGAAAAGAAAUAGAGAAAGUAUUGCAAAAUCCGGCAGCACCUCCCUUGAAAGAAGCAUAACAAGGGGAACAUAGAUUUUAUACAGGAUAUAAAAGAAAGAUAAUUCACAUAGUAUAAUCGAAAUGCAACGGUAGAAAUGAACAUUCAUGACCAAAUAAAAGAUAGGUAAUUCAGCCCACCAAAAAAAAAACAGUUCAACUACAUGAAAGGCUAGAGUAUAAUAAUCCCCUAGACUUGACCCUCCCUAUUUAACAUCAUUAUUAAGCAGUGGUUCCUUUAUUUAAAGGUGUAGUGGCCGUGUUGAUACAUCCAUUCUUUCCCAAAGCAAAGAUCAGGUGCCUGCAUCAGACAAUGCAAGAGUGAGAUGACACAUCUCAGCAAGUAAAAAAAAGCAAACAACAAUUGGACAAUGUAAACCAACCGUGCCUAAACAACCACGUAGUUCACAACUUCUUUCUUAAAUAUUAAUUUGCAGCAAGUAAGCAAGUAACCAAGUACUUAAUGCCAUGAUGAAUCACAAAGUAAAGAUCCACACUAUCCACAUCACCAUAAUAGGUUCCACACUUCUCCCAUGAAUGCACAUGGCUACAGAUGCAGUAAUGACUUCUGUCUUCAUACCUCUAAGGAUAUGAAGCUGCAUCAUACCCCUUCUCGGGCAACAUAUGAUGCUCAUUUUACCGGUACGGUCGAACCAUAAGAUCGCGACGAAACUUCCAUGCAAUGGAUGAUGAAUGCAUUAUGCAUGUCAACAACAUAAGUCCUUCGCAAAUAAAAUGUGCUAGACAUAUACUUCCACCCAUUCCACAUAAUAAACCACAUGGGUAACAUGAUCAAACCACAACCUCAACAUAUGUAAUCAAUAAAACAUGAAUAUCUUCAAACAAUGGUACCCAAUUAAAAUUAUGACAACAGUUGAUGCGUCACGAUGCCCGAUCUUCACGACGUAGGAUCAAUCUUCAGAUAACUAGCUUCAAAGAAGCCAAGAUAACUUGCUGCAAGCAGCGAUAACUAGUGCAACCUGACAAAUAAAACUCGAAGCCAACCACCGUCUUUAACCGGCAGCCUGAAUCGAGGAUUCGCCCAACCACACUCUCAAAGAACCAACCAACACAGCCUAUAAUCAAUUGAGGAGACCUCGAAGGCAGUAGGAGCACCACUUGGGAGCGGAUGAAGCCGCUGCUUCUGCAAUCCCGCGAAGGAAUUCACAAGAGCAAAGGGGUAGAGAUCACUCUCAAUAUUUGUUAGCACACACGUGAACAAAGGGUUCUGUUUUUAGAUUAUCAUAUGCUGCCUUACAUCAUAGACAUAUGGGGGUAUUUAUACUAGUAACAACCAGCCUUAGCGAGGUAUAAACACAAAACAAAAGUAUUUUCACGUGCUAAUGUGAAGGAGCCUCUUCGGGAGAUCUGCAGAGCUGAUUUCCGUGUGGCUGUUUGACUUCUGCGCAGCCUUCAGUAUUUUGACAAUAACUUCUUCUAGGAAUCUUCAAAUGACGUGGGGUUGGAUGCGUUGGAAAGCUGACUUGAUAAGCUUUCUCACCAUAUAUAGCAUGCUUAAUGAAACUUCGUAGAAUGAUGCAGUUUAAUACGAAAACAUGGUCAUCAAGUAGACUGUUGACCUUCUGACCAGUCAGCACUAAAGUAGGUCGGCUGCCUUUCUGGUAGAUUUGAUUAAGUCGGCUUUAGAAGCAUUGGAAACUAGACUUCAAGAGCUUUCCAAAAAGUACUUAUGGACCUUCAUAGCUUUUGAGAAUCAUAAGAUAUGACUGUUUCUUCUGGACGGUUCUGUUGCGCUGGACUGACUCGGACAUAACUCUUCUUGUUGACUCGUCCUUGAUAUGUUUUGUCCUUCCUCUUUGGUGAACCUAAGUAAUAUCAACAUACACGACUUAGGUAGCAUAAAGUUCUCAUUAGUGUUUAAUUGAAAUUCAUAAAGUAGCGCGUGCACCUCUUGAUGUAGCUUCUUAGCUCGGCUACGUGUAAUUGGUCCAUCAAAGACUUGGGUUGGUGAUGAUGUUGGUUGUACUUGAGUUGAUGUAGUAUGACUUGGGGGUUGUAACAUGUUGCUUAAUGGCGUGGUCAUAUCAUCCUCCUCCCCUUGAAAAGGAGUCGUCCUCGACUCUGAAGUGUCUUCGCUUGUAUAUGGUAAGAGGUUAGCAACAUUGAACGUGUUGCUCACGCCAUAGCUUGGUGGAAGAUCUAUCUUGUAUGCAUUAUCAUUGAUCUUGGAAAGAACACGAAAUGGACCAUCCCCUCGUGGCAUCAAUUUGGAUUUGCGCUGAUCAGGAAAACGCUCCUCGCGCAAGUGAAUCCAAACCAAGUCCCCCGGCUCAAAUAACACUUUCUUCCUAUGCUUGUUCAUACUUGCAGCCCUGCGCACAUCUUUGAGCUCAAUUACUUCCUUGGUCUUCUCAUGUAUCUUUUUUAUAUAUGCAACACGCUUGGAAGCUUCCAUAUCGGUUCUUUCCUGCAAUGGAAGGGGCAACAAAUCUAUGGGAGCAAUAGGUUUGAACCCAUAUACAAUUUCGAAGGGGCAUAAAUUAGUUGUAGAAUGUACUGCCCUGUUAUAAGCAAACUCCACGUGUGGCAAACAUUCCUCCCAGUCCUUCAAGUUCUUCUUUACCAUUGUUCGCAGCAGCAUUGACAAUGUACGAUUCACCACUUCAGUUUGGCCAUCAGUUUGGGGGUGGCAAUGUGGUGGAGAACAAAAGUUUAGUCCCAAGCUUUGCCCACAAUGUCUUCCAAAAAUAGCUCACAAACUUCACAUCACGGUCAGAUAUGAUGGUCUUGGGCACUCCAUGUAGUCUCACGAUUUCUCUGAAAAACAAAUUAGCAACAUGUGAAGCAUCGUCGCUCUUGUUGCAUGGAAUAAAAUGAGUCAUUUUUGAAAAUCUAUCAACCACAACAAAAAUAGAAUCUCUCUUUUUUCGAGUCAUCGGCAGUCCUAAAACAAAAUCCAUGCUUAUGUCUUCACAAGGAAUUUUAGGAGCAGGUAAAGGAGUAUAUAAACCAUGAGGGUUCAAUUUUGACUUAGCUUUGUGACAGGUGACACAACGCUCCACAAAUCUGAUGACGUCUCUCCUCAUCUUGGGCCGAUAGAAAUGAUCACUGAGCAUUUCAUAACUCUUCUUUUGUCCAAAAUGACCUGUUAGACCACCUCCAUUGACUCCUGCAAUAAAAGCAAUCUAACCGAAGAAUUUGGUACACAAAGUUUGUUAGCUCUAAACAAAAAUCUAUCAUGUAUAUGAUAUUUUUCCCAACCUUUUCCGUCUUUACAAUGAUUGUAUGGUUCUAAAAAUUCAGGAUCAUCAUUAUACAUUUCUUUCAAAUUUUCAAGACCCAAAACUUUUACCUCUAGUUGAUUCAACAACACAUUCCUUCGAGACAAGGCAUCAGUGACCACAUUGUCCUUACCUUUCUUAUUUUUCACAAUGUAUGGAAAUGUUUCGAUAAACUCAACCCAUUUGGCAUGGUGACGGUUCAGUUUGGCUUGCCCUUUCAAAUAAUUCAAAGCUUCAUGAUCGGAAUGAAUAACAAACUCUUUUGGCCAUAAGUAGUGCUGCCAUGUUUCAAGCGCUCGGACCAAAGCAUACAAUUCUUUGUCAUACACAGAAUAAUUUAAUUGAGCACCUCCCAAUUUUUCACUAAAAUAUGCUAUAGGUUUUCCUUGUUUCAUUAAAACUCCUCCUAUCCCAAUCCCACUAGCAUCACAUUCUACUUCAAAAGUUUUAGUGAAAUCAGGAAGAAUAAGUACAGGUGCUUCAGUCAAACGUUUCUUCAAUUCUUGAAAAGCAUGUUCUUGUGAGUUUCCCCAUUUAAAUUCAACACCUUUCUUUGUCAAUUCAUUUAAAGGAGAAGCGAUGGUACUGAAAUCUCGCACAAAUCUUCUAUAAAAACCAGCAAGACCAUGAAAACUUCUUACUUGACUUACAUUCGUUGGAGCUGGCCAAUCCUUGAUGGCUUUCACCUUGGAUUCAUCCACCUCUAUUCCUUUUGCUGAAACAACAAAGCCAAGAAACACAACAUGGUCUGUGCAAAAACUGCACUUCUCAAGAUUAGCAAAUAAUUUCUCCUUUCUAAGCUCAUCUAAAACUUGUCGAAUGUGUUUCACAUGUUCAUCAAAAGACUUGCUGUAAAUUAGAAUAUUAUCGAAGUAGACAACAACAAAUUUUCCAAUGAAAGUUCUUAAGACAUGGUUCAUUAAUCUCAUAAAAGUACUAGGAGCAUUAGUCAACCCAAAGGGCAUUACUAACCAUUCAUAGAACCCAAAUUUUGUUUUAAAUGCAGUCUUCCAUUCAUCUCCAGUUUUCAUUCUUAUUUGAUGGUAUCCACUUCUCAAAUCAAUUUUAGUAAAAAUUGUGGAACCACUUAAUUCAUCAAGCAUAUCAUCUAGCCGUGGAAUAGGAUGGCGAUAGCGAACGGUAAUGUUAUUUAUAGCUCUACAAUCAACACACAUCCUCCAAGAUCCAUCUUUCUUAGGUACUAAAAUCACAGGAACAGCACAAGGGCUUAAGCUUUCACGAACAAAACCUUUAUCAAGAAGUUCUUGCACUUGCCUUUGUAUUUCCUUAGUUUCUUCAGGAUUGGUUCGAUAUGGUGGACGGUUAGGAAGUGCAGCCCCUGGAAUAAGAUCGAUUUGAUGCUCAAUCCCUCAAAUUGGAGGUAGUCCAGCAGGUGUUUGUUGUGGAAACACGUCUUCAAAGUCCUGCAAAAGAUCAGCCACAACACUAGGAAGAGAUGUUAUGUCGUUAGGAGAAAUCAAAACAUCUUUGUUCACAAGUACAAAGAGUACUUGAUAUGGGUUGUUCCUCACUUCUCUCAGCUCAGAUUUUGUGGCUAGCAUAACUAGAUGUUCUCCCUCUUCCUUCCUUUUAUCUCUUGAAUUUGGCAUGUAGCACUCGCUCACCGAAUUGUGGAUGGCACUCAAUUUGUUUUGCUCUUCUCCUCUACUUGCUGCACUAAUUUCAGUUUUCUUUUGUAAAUGUUCAGCCAUGAUUUGUUGAGGGGUCAUAGGUUUGAGUACAAACUUUCUCCCUUUCAGAUCUAGCGUGUAUUGAUUUGUUCUUCCACAAUGCUGAGAAUAUCGGUCAUAUUGCCAAGGUCUUCCUAGCAACAUGUGACACACAGACAUGGGUGCAACAUCACACUCCACUGUGUCAACAUACUCUCCAAUCUUGAACGGAACUUUCACCUUAUAACCAAUCUUGAUAUCUCCCGAUUCAUUCAGCCAUUGGACAUGAUAUGGAUGAGGGUGUCGCUGCAACUUCAAACCAAGCUUUUCAACCAUCUCACGACUUGCAAGAUUAUGACAGCUCCCUCCAUCAAUGAUCACCUUUACUACUUUGUCUUGCAUUUUUGCUCGCGUUUGAAAAAGAUUAUGUCGCUGUCCAAUUUUAGCUUCUUUCAUUUGAACACUCAAGAUUUGUGUAACCACAAGAGUAGUACCAUGCUCAAAUUCACAUCCCGUAUGUUCUUCAGAUUUAUCAAUGUCAUCUUCAUUUCCUGCUUCAGCUUCCUCUUCACUAGCCGAUGUAUAUUCUCCAUCAUCAGUCACAAGGAUCACACAAUUAUUUGGACACUCCUUUAUGACAUGACCACGACCUCCACACUUGAAGCACUAAAUACCACUACUCUUGGUUGUUGAACCCACUGAUGUUGAAGUGGAUGCUGCUGGUUUAUAACUCGUGUUUGGAGCAGCACCGUUCUUUCCACUAGAAUUGCCUUGAAUAUUGGAUCGCAAGUUUCCAGUUGAACCUUUUGUUGCUGAGGAUGCAGCAGUAAACCUUGAGAUCGAUUUGCUUCCUCCAGUCAUGGUUUGUGCACCAUAUGACAAGGGCUUGCUGCUCUUAGCAUCUUGUUGCAGCUGGCGUUCAGCUUUGGUGGCUUGAUGUACCAAAUCAAUAAGACUUUGGUGCGGCUGAAACUCAACAAUACGCUGAAUGUUGCGGUGUAACCCAGCCAUGAAACAUGCAAUGGUUUGCUCUUCGUCUUCAUACACAUUGGCUCUAAUCAUGGCCUUCUCCAUCUCCUUAUAAUAUUCCUCAACAGAGAAACUUCCUUGCCUCAGAUUCUGCAAUUUAUCAAAAAGAUCACGCCGAUAAUGCUUUGGUACAAAACGAAUUCUCAUUUCGCUUCAUCUCUUGCCAAGUAAUAAUAGGGUUCUCUCCAUCUUCUUCACGAUCACGAAGAAGUUGCUCCCACCAAAUCAGGGCAUAUCCUUCAAACUCAAGAGAUGCCAUUGCAAGUUUAUUCUCCUCUAAUAAUUAUGUAGGCGGAAGAUUUUCUCCACCUUCAAUUCCCAUGUGAAAUAAUCUUCAGGAUCAGAUCUACCAUCAAAUUUUGGCAUGGUAAACUUAAGUUUCCCAAAUCUCUCUUCUUGGUUGACGCCUCUAUGAUGACGACAACCAUAGCGAUGUUGGGACUGAUCGUCAUCCCGAAAUUCAGAUUCUUCAUUGUCAUUAUUUCUUCGAUUCCGGCCUCUUCCUCUACCAUGUGCAGCACCUUGAUUUCUCCUCCCAUGUUCACUUGCUCUUCUAGAAUAAUUUCCUUCACCUUCUUCCUCAUCUUCAUCAUGGUUUCUUGCACCGUUAGGGAGUCGACGAUGACCUCUGAUUUCAGCCAUAAGUGUCUGAAGAUCUUGUGCCAAUAGAUCUUGCUUGGCUUCUAUGCUUUGUUUGAGCUCAUUGAAUUGUAUCAUGGUGACACAGUCUUCAAUCUCAGCGUUGGGAUCCAUCUUCCUGCGAAAUUAGUGGCGACAAGGCAACAAAUAUAGGUGGAAUAUGAAGCUAUAUAGAAUCUCAUAACCUCACCACUCUUACCAACCAAAGCUCUUAUGAGGUCCCUGCGGGUUGCAAGAAACAAUGUGUGGUGGUAACAAGAAAGUGAUGGUUAAGCGAAUACAAGACCAGAGCACCGAUUACGAUGGCUUAUAUGUGGAGCUUGGUGGGGGAAUAGUAAACAAGGAAUGCAAUCUGAAUCCAAGUUGUUGUAAAGUUAAAUAACAAUCCAACUAGAAGUUCACUGCCUAGUGCUGACCACAAGAUUCGAGUGAUGGAAGUAGAUCAAACACACGCGCAAAGAAAUUUCAGAUUUAAUGCAAAUCAAGGAGUAUGAUUGGAAUGCAAGUGUUACGGUCAGACCCAACCAAAAUUUUGCACCAAAAGACAAUAGCAAACUGGUUGAACAACUUGAUGAACUUUCAGCACUUGUGCACAUAAACAAACCGAUCGUUCUUCUUUUCUUUCACAAUAUUGCUCAACACUUUUUUUGGUACUUUUCUUUCUUCUCUUUUUUUUGAUACUCUUUUUAUAGAACUAAACACAGAGAUCUGAUAUGAUAUUGCACACUUUAUAAUAAUUAACAAAGAACUCAACCAGCAGUUAUAACUUAAAUAGGAUCAAAGUUAACGCGAAGGAAAUGAUGAGGGUUUUCAGAUUUUUCUUUUUGUGGAUAUUUUCAGAUAUAUAUAUAUAUAUAUAAGAGGCUCAAAGGAAACACAAAGGAUAGAGUGACCAGCAACUAAACAAAGAUUCUAAGGACUGAAACUUAACAAAACUCACUGGAACAACAGAUUGAAACAAAGGGCUAUGGCAAAAAUAUUUUAUGGCUUUUUAGUGGAUAGGACGAACACAAAAUAUAUGUAGCUAAGGGUAAAGAAUCCUAUCGUGGCAACUGAGGCUUUGAUACCAGAUGAUGCGUCACGAUGCCCGAUCUUCACGACGUAGGAUCAAUCUUCAGAUAACUAGCUUCAAAGAAGCCAAGAUAACUUGCUGCAAGCACCGAUAACUAGUGCAACCUGUCAAAUAAAACUCGAAGCCAACCACCGUCUUUAACUGGUAGCCUGAAUCGAGGAUUCACCCAACCACACUCACAAGAACCAACUAACACAGCCUACAAUCAAUCGAGGAGACCUCGAAGGGAGUAGGAGCACCACUUGGGAGCGGAUGAAGCCGCCGCUUCUGCAAUCCCGCGAAGGAAUUCACAAGAGCAAAGGGGUAGAGAUCACUCUCAAUAUUUGUUAGCACACACCUGAACAAAGGGUUCUGUUUUUAGAUUAUCAUAAGCUGCCUUACAUCAUAGACAUAGGGGGUAACAACCAGCCUUAGCGAGGUAUAAACACGAAACAAAAGUAUUUUCACGUGCUAAUGUGAAGGAGCCUCUUCGGGAGAUCUGCAGAGCUGAUUUCUGUGUGGCUGUUUGACUUCUGCGCACCCUUCAGUAUUUUGACAAUAACUUCUUCUAGGAAUCUUCAAAUGAGGUGGCGUUGGAUGCGUUGGAAAUCUGACUUGAUAAGCUUUCUCACCAUAUAUAGCAUGCUUAAUGAAACUUCGUAGAAUGAUGCAGUUUAAUACGAAAACUUGGUCAUCAAGCAGACUGUUGACCUUCUGACCAGUCAGCACUAAAGUAGGUCGGCUGCCUUUCUGGUAGAUUUGAUUAAGUCGGCUUUAGAAGCAUUGGAAACUAGACUUCAAGAGCUUUCCAAAAAGUACUUAUGGACCUUCAUAGCUUUUGGGAAUCAAAAGAUAUGACUGUUUCUUCUGGACGGUUCUGUUGCGCUGGACUGACUCGGACAUAGCUCUUCUUGUUGACUCGUCCUUUAUAUGUUUUGUCCUUCCUCUUUGGUGAACCUAAGUAAUAUCAACAUACACGACUUAGGUAGCAUAAAGUUCUCAUUAGUGUUUAAUUGAAAUUCAUAAAGUAGCGCGUGCACCUCUUGAUGUAGCUUCUUAGCUCGGCUACGUGUAAUUGGUCCAUCAAAGACUUGGGUUGGUGAUGAUGUUGGUUGUACUUGAGUUGAUGUAGUAUGACUUGGGGGUUGUAACAUGUUGCUUAAUUGCGUGGUCAUAUCAGCAGUGGUAACAAACAAAAACUCUAGAGGCAUCUACAUAAAAUUCCCCACAAGUUUUGUAUACAAUUUAGAAUUAAAUUCCAACAUCUAAUUAGCUCAAAACAGUCCACAAGAUAAACCCUGCAAUCUGUUUUUUUUUUGGACAGCAACAUACCCGGAUUCAAACAGCGAUAUCUCCUAAUUUAUAAUUCCGAAUUGAGCGCAUAAGUACUUGUUGGAAAGGUAUGACAAAGCUCUACAUAAUUAUCAUACUGUUUGUCACUAAUUAACCACGAAAAAUACCCAAAAACUGCUAAUACCACUUCUGUACGCCCACCUGCACAAAUCUGUUUCUUUGGACAGCCACAUACCCGGGUUCAAACGGCGAUAUCUCCUAAUUUAUAACUCCGAAUUGGGCGCAUAAGUACUCGUUGGAAAGGUAUGACAAAGCCCUACUUGAUUCUCAUACUGUUUAUCACUAAUUACCCACGAAAAAUUCCCAGAAACUGCUAAAGCUACUGCUGUUCGCCCACCCACUAAACUUCCGGACAGCACCUCUACCAAUUCGCAUACGCAACAUCUAUUCAAUUGAAUUGCAGCACAAAUAAAUAAGAAAUAAACACAAAAAUCACCUUGGAUUCUCCCCUUUUCCUUCCUCCCUUUUUCCCUCCACCAAAACCAAUUGGAGACUUGCACCACGCGACGAAGAUCCAAUCGGCAAGGAAUGGCACCUUGGGGAGGAGGAGAUGGGGGCGGCUAGGGUUAGGUGGUGUGGCUGCAAGAGUUUGAGGGAGGAGGAGAUGGGAGGGGGGGCGGCGGCCAAGGGCUAGGGGAAAUGGGGGCGGCUGCACAAGGGGAGGGCGGCUAGGGUUAAGGGGAGGCUAAUGGGCCGGAUCAAGAUUCAUGGCCCAACUCGCCCACGCGACAGCCCCCGACCCCGUCGCAAGCGUCUAACCAAAGAAAUUCUACUGUCUUACUGGUGAAUGUUUUCCACAAAUUCCAAAUCCCCAAAGCGCAUCACCCGAAUGAGAAAAAAACAAAAAAAAGAAUAACCUCCAACUUCUCUUCUUUGCAAACCGGGUAUCACAGUUAUCGAGUGUGAAUAGAUGAUGUUUAUAAACUCCUUAACAGAAAUUUCAAAAAUGAAUUUCGGAGAACUUGACCGAAGGUGCAUUGUAUGGCAUAAUUGAAGACCUAUGCACAUUCGUAUUGAAAGAGGUCAUUCCCGCUGAAGGGAAAUGCCAUGAUGCUUCCAGUACAUUAGAUAUGCGAGAGUUUAGAAUACUAACAGAAGUUAGUAGACUAUCUCUUAGACGAGAUAGUUAUUAGAGCAUAGGAGAAAAAUUUUGAUGUAUAGAAUGUGUGAAGCAUAUAUGGUUGUAAACAAAAGACUUUGAUGUAUAGAAUGUAUGAUAGAAUUUAAUUCCAUGUUGUUUUCAAUAUGUGUGCGUGUGUGUAAAGAAAUAUAAAAAUCAGUUUUGUUUGAAAAUUUCAAAAAAGUCGGGAAAACUUAUACUGGCGAGAAAUGUUAAGGAAACCGCCAGUGAAAAUAAAAUUUCCACUCGUGGUUUUAUUAAGCAAACCGCCCGUGAAAAUAACUUUUGCACUGGCGAUUUGCUUAAUACAGCUGCCUAUGGAAAUAACAUUUCGACUGGCGGCUGUAUCAAGCAAACCACAAGUGGAAAUAACAUUUCCACUAGCGGCUUUAUUAAGCAAACCGCCUGGUGGCUUUAUUAAGCAAUAAAGCCGCCAGUGGAAAUGUUACUUCCACUGGCGGUUUACUUAAUACAGCCGCUAGUGGAAAUGCUAUUUUCACUAGCCGCUGCAAAACAACCGCCAGUGAAAACACCGAUUUCCACUAGCUCGUAGCACGAGUGGCACUGGAAAAUGCUAGUGCAAAUAGCUCUAGGACCGCCACUAUAGAGCUUCUGUGUACUAGUGUAAUCUGACCACUAAAUAUUUACUACAAGACUGAUUUAAGCACCUACUAGCAAAAAUACGUGCCUACCUACAAAUAAGAAAGUUGUAGCAUGUAUAUGUAUCUCUAAAUAUAUAUAAACACGUCGACUAUUUGGUUUACAUUGCAUCAUCUCGGUGAUAAUAAUAUAUGUAUUAUUAUACACAAGGUGACAAAUAUUGAUAGUCGUCAAUGAUACUGUUGCAUAGUGGUUAUCUAAUAAAUACUGGUUUUGAUAUAAUAAAUCAAUGUGUUUUGAUAUAAUCCAUUGUGUGACGUUGCUAUACAUGUGAUUCUCAUCCGAUUUCAUGUAUAGUGGAACAUCUGGUUUUGUCCUUAGAACCGGGUGUGAUUGUUUAGCGAUGGUACUUACAACCACCAUCUUUAUAGGUUGCUAAAGGUCUUUAUUUACAUCUGUAGGAUGCUGAAGGUGCAUUUAGCAACCAACAUAAAGUAGGUCUUUUUCUGUUAUUAUUUGAGCACUGUGUGAUGAUGUCCAACUAUAUAAUUGUUGUGUGACACGAACACGGUUCGCAUUCGGUUUGCCUUCUAAAACCGGGUGUGAUAGUACCGUCGUGUAUUGAUUUUUAACGCACAUAUGAAUAUUGUGCCUACUUUUUGCGUUUUGACAUUGUGGUUUGGUAGCAACGGUGCAUAAUUAUAUAUGAAGUAUAGUUUUGGGAGGCUUUAUCAAAUCCUAACUUUCAUGUGGUUUUUAUGUAAAUCUUGGUGAAUUAUAUGGUAUAAGCCCAAAUAAUACUCGUUAUUAAAAUUGGAAUGCAUCAAAGUGCCAAACAUUGGACCGUAAGUAAGGAAUUAGUCGUUACUAUAUAUUGCAUAUGUACCUUGUCCAUGUUUAUUACUCGUGUGCUCGAAAGCGGUGGUCCAUUGACGGGUGGAUUGUAUUGAAAAUUGCGGCAACAUUAAUCGAUGGAAGGAACGGUGGAUACUACAAGUAUUGGGAAGCAUUGCCAUAAGUGUGACAUGUAGACCUUCAAGAUUUCCCAUAACAUAAUGGCCUUUAAAAAAAGACUAUAAUAUAUAACCACAUCUGUAGACAAUCGAUAAUAAACACGAGACAUAUAAUUAUUUAUUAUUAAAUAUAUUGAUUAACACAAUCACUGAAGUACAAGUAGAGCCAUCACACACGUACAUAUUUUAAACCAGCCAUGCAAGUAACUUUAGAUAUCACACUCGCUCGCAUUAUUGAAAUCAAAUUUGUGCGUAAUCCAUCAAGGCGUAAUAAAAUUGAAGGCUUGGCAUUGUGGCACAAUCUAGCCAAUAUAUGGUGCUGGGUUAACCACAACAGCCUGACCAUUGACGAUGUCGUUGUAGAUACAAACACGUACGGUACCAUCUUGGAGUGGAGACGGGACCCCAUCUGGAGGGAGUACUCGAACUUCGGUUAUAUUGGGAUUAUCUUGACGGAUAAUGUUAACCGCAUCUACAACGGGGUAGCCAACCAGAUCAGGCCAUGUUUGGGUCGUUAUACCAAGCUUGACGACCUCCAUCAAUCAAUCAGAUAGUGUCCUUCUGAAACUGUUAUAAUUGCCAACAAGCAUCAAUAAUCAAGGAAAACUGACAUAGUGUAAACAAACACAUUAUUUUAAAAACAUAACGGCAUCGAUCAUAUAUAUGGCAUGCUUGAGCAUGUUGGUAAAUACCUACGUACCUGCAAAGAAGAAACUAGUAGCCUGUAUAAGGAGAGAAUAGGAGAUGGUAGGUGCUCUAUGUAUGUCUAUGCAUGUAUAUAUAUACACACGGUGACUAUUUGGAUUGCAUGCAUCCUCUCGGUGAUAACAAUGGAUGUAUUUUAUGGACCCGUUCAUAUUGCUACCGAUUUUAAUACUCAGCUCGUCGAUGAUAACGGUGCAUCCAUUUUUCUUCUUUUACUUAGUAAACAUCGUCGGCACAUGUUGUGGUUAAUUAACAGCAUCAUCUUCUCGAUCUAAUUGUGGAUUGUGCUGCUCCUGCUUGUUAUUAGCUGGCAGUACAGCCCUUUGUUUACACGGUACUAGCACAGUACGUACUUGGCUGGUACCAAAACGUUGGACGGAACCGAGUCACGCAUGAAGGACGGAACAGUCAGCAGUCACCGCCAUGGCAUGCAUGUCUGUUAUCUGUAGCGCACGAUGACAUCAGAAGCGGAACCAACUUCUUUGCAAGGCAACGAACCAAAGGCACCAUCUCCUAUUUGUUUGGUUCAGUAAUCAAUAGCGUAUUCCUUUUAGAGAGGCAGAAGAAAGGAGUGGAGGGAUGAAGGCAACGAACCAAUGAAGUCGCGUGGGCCGCGGGAACGAGAUUGUAAAUUUUCAACAGCUGUUCCGUUCGUGUAAUCAACUGGUGAAAAAUAUUUGCACUAGAUCCACUUGUGUAGUAGCCUAUGCAUAUUUAAGUCUAUUUUAUGUUUUCUUUUUCUCCUUUUCCUUUUAUUGUGCAAUGUGACAUGUUUUUUAUGUAUCGUUACAUGAAUUUUUGAAAGUUUAAGUACCUACUCAGGAUUUUUGUAGACUCUCCGUCUUUCGGUACCAUGUUAUUAUUCAUUUGGCAAUAUUUGUAACACCAUUUCUGCGAACACAAUAUUGACCUAUCCCUUUUGGUUCGGGUUGAUGAUUAGUGAUCGCCAACGGGUAGCACUCUAGAGUAGUCAGUGGACUAACUAGACUAUGAGAUUAUGUAUCUACAACCAUGUCGGUCGCAUUAGGGUGUGCAGGUGUGGAGCACAGGGGCGGUGGUCGACGACGAAGGUAAAAGUCAUGUGGGUUCGUGCUGAUGUACCGGGAGUGGUGAAAGACAGACGAUGUGACUUGACUUAGGGACCAGAGUCGCUAGGUGACCAACCGUGGUGGCUGACACCUGGGUCACGCACUCGCGUUAGGACGUGGCGUAGCGGGCUGUGUUGCCGAGACAGUCUAGGACUAGCGGAACACAUGUCCAAUAUGUGGGGGACGCGCAUGCGGUGCGAUACUCACGAAGGUUUGGUGGUUGAGCCUCAAAACGAACAUGCGCUACAGAUGGCCGGGUUUGCCGAGUGUCGGUCUGGCAACACUCGAGUGCCAACGCCUGGCGCUCGGCAAGGUUAACGGUCGUCAGCUAUAGACGACUGCUGACGGCCCUUUGCCGAGCGUCGCCGUGUGUCGAGUGUUUGGCACUCGGCAAAGAGGUCUUUGCCGAGUGUAUUCCUAUGCCGAGCGUCCUACUCUCGGUAAACGUGGUCGUUACCGAGAGUAGGACUUUGCCGAGUGCAGCGCUCGACAAAGAAUUCUUUGCCGAGUGCCUGAAAAAAUGUACUCGGCAAAGACUCGAGCACUCGACAAAGAGCCGGUGUUGGGGGCCUUCGGCUUACGAAGGUCCUCAAAAACAGUAUUUAACAGUAUUUUCUGGAGUAUAAUGUGUGGACAGGUAUCUUCGGACUCAAGUCGGUAUCACAGCAGACCAAAAUAAUACGAAGGUUGAUACAGCGCCGAAGGUGUGAGCAGGAAAGCUUCGGCGUGGUAGCAAAAAAUGAAACCGACUUAAAGAUGAAAAGGCUAUUCAGACCUCGAUAGAUUACUAUAGAAUUAUUAUCAAAUGUAAAGGGCAUAAAUGUAAUUUUGUAUGGGUUGUGUCCUGUGCCUAUAAAUAGGUGAACAGUACCCCCGUACUGUUCACGCUGAUUUGACAUUCGCUUUUGCGUCACGUUUGUACUUUCAUCUCCUUCAAGCUGAAGGUACAUUUGUAAUUCGAUGUUAUUUCUGUUUCUACAUAAUAAUAAUGCAAAGAUAAAUUAAUAAUAAUAUGCAAUUGUCUAUGUUAUCCUUCAUAUUCCUUAUAAUUCAUUCUUCGUCAUUAUAUAGUGUAUUUAUGAAGGUACGCCCUUCAUAACCUUCGUCCGAAAAUCAUUAUAUCCUAAGGGGAAUAAUGCUUCGAAGGACGAAGGACUUUACCGAUUAACAUUUUCUAUGUUGCCUUGUUCUUAACUCAUAGCAUUUGAGAACAAGUCCCCAACAGCCGGGUUCCGGUAGUGCAUUUAGAUACGCUACUAUAGAAAAGGUUUCUACCAACACUAGAUUUACCACUGCAUGCUUCUGUGAAAACUAAAUAUAAAUAAUUUCAACAACUAUUUGCAGUAGCAUACAAUGAUGGAAAUCAUUCUUAUUUUAAAUCUAGGCCAUUAUACGAUUGGUUGCGAAAAUAGAUUUUACGACUUGGCGAGGGGUUAAGGAUGACAAGGUGACCCCACAAGUCAGGGACCGAGCGUGAGGGUGUGCGUGAAGGUGGCUAACGAGGAAGUCCCACCUGUCAGCAGCUACGAGAGGGUGAAAUCGACGCCGCGCUGCUGCACCUAAUGGGGUGGUCCUGCCUGUCAGUGAUUGAAGAGCACGGUUAUGCUGGUAUGCUGUGCUUCUAGGCCGAAAGCCACUUGGCCCGCUUAGGGGCACUAUUUUAUCUUUAAAAUUUAUGAGAAAGAGAUUUUGAGUUUAAAAUUCAAAUUCAAAUGCAAAUGACUUCAUAUAAAUUUGAAACAUUGUCAGGAAUUCGUUUAUAGCCAUACAAACAUCUUGGCAAAAUAUGAAGACAUAUAUUUUUAUAAAUAAUUAAUGCACAAAAAUUAAUUCCCCUCGUUCUCCUUAAUUAUUGGACAAGAGAGUCACAUGUGAUAAAAAUUUCAAAAUCCUUAAAAUUAUUGAUAUGGGUUUGUAUGAUUACAAUAGACUUUGCACAUUACAAAGGUAGGGUUGUCGAGUACUCAGGAACCGAGUACCCGAAAUAGGCCGGUGGCCUCUUUAAAUAUGGACCACUAGCCGACCAAACCUACCUCGAGCAACCAAGCGAGGUGGAGCGACUUGGCGAGGCGGAGGUCCCAAUCCAGUACUGCUGACCCAUGUCAACUACAACAAGAAGCAUCAUCCACAUGUCACGUCUGGGCAUACGUGUGGCACACCUAAGGCGCGUCGGGAAGUCCCUGUCGACAUAAACGUACGCCCCCACGUACGAUCCAAAUGUACCCGCGCUGCCUUGUUGGGCCAGUCAAACCCGGUCAUGGGGGAUCUCUGCCCUAGAGUCUCUACAGUGACUCGCAUACCGCGAGGGACGCGACAAUACACUGCACCGGUUGUAUGGUGGAGGGUGACGCAAGGAUCAUGAUGAUAGGCAAGGCUGUGCCAUGUGCACCCUCACCAUGAGACUGGAUAAUGGGACCCACCACACAUGUCACACCCGAGUUUCGGGGGCACCAAGACCCGAGCGUGAACAUAAUCAAGCGUGUUGGAACCAAGUCUCACACAUAUGAUGAAUCAUGGUACAGAAACGAAUGUCACAUCUUUACUAUACAAUAGGAGUUCUAUACAAAAUAAAUAAAUAAUUACAUCAUAAAGAGACAGCGAUCUAGCAACCCAAAGUUGACUGGGAGACGACGGCCUAGACUUCUCACGAAAUCAUCACAGCAUCCUCCAUGUGCCUCAUCCUGCGGUACUGAAAGGGAAAUGUGCCCUUGGGCCAUUUCUAUAAUGUUUUGGUGAUUAAGUGUCCAACACAUAGUGAAUGAGAUAUUGUGUGCCAAACAAGCAUAAAGGUGCAAAUCAUGUAACGAGGUACGUUUCUAGACUUAAUACAUUGUUUUGAGUACUAACAUAUUUUGUCUAAGUGCUAGAAACAGACAAAAGAAGAAAAGAAAAGAGAUGCAAAAGACUUGGCUUGGUACAGCCAAAUUACAGCUCGGCUUGGCACACCGGACAGUGUCCGGUGCGUCAGGUCAGCCUCCGGUGAACAGGCCACUCUUGGGAAAAAUCGGCGGCGUAGGGCUAUAAUUCACCGGACUGUCCGGUGGUGCACCGGACUGUCCGGUGAGCCAACGGCCGCCAGCGCAACGGUCGGCCACGCAAUCCGCGGGCGACGAGUGGCCCGCGCCAACGGUCGGCAGGGGGCACCGAACUGUCCGGUAUGCACCGGACAGUGUCCGGUGCGCCAACUGCCACGGCGCUGCAACGGUCAUCUGCACCAAAUUAGGAAGGAGAUUUGCACCGGACAUGCUACAGUGACUGUCCAGUGGUGCACCAGACUGUCCAGUGCACCACCCGACAGAAGGAAACUUUGGCCUUCCUUGUUGGCCUCCAAUGGCUCCUAGCUGCCUUGGGGCUAUAAAAGGGACCCCUAGGCGCAUGGAGGAGUCACCCAAGCACACUCUAAGCAUUCCAAGACUUCUAGUCCUCACUUUCACGCAAUCGUUCAUCGUUCUUGAGAUUGGAGCACUUUUCGAGUUGUAAACUCCCCGCGCGUGUUUUGUGUGCUCAUCUUCUCACUUAUGUGCGUGUUUGUGGUGGGGAUUUAAUUCUAGUGUGCGUUGCUCUUCCCAACCUUACUCCGUGCUUUCAUUGUGAUUUUUGUUGUAAGGGCGAGGGACUCCAACUUGUGGAGAUUCCUCACAAACGGGAAAAUGAUAUAAGCAAAGAAAAGUCAUGGUAUUCAAGUUGAUCAUUGGAUCACUUGAAAGGGGUUGAGUGCAACCCUCGUCCAUUGGGACGCCACAACAUGGAGGUAGGCAAGUGUUAUACUUGGCCGAACCACGGGAUAAACCACUGUGUCUCUUGUGUUGUCUUUCUCUGUGAUUAUUGUGAUUUACAAGAGCUCGCUCCAUAGCCACUUGGUUCUAUUGCACUAACAUCUUUAUAACCAAGCUUGUGGCUAUUUAGUAUUGAAUUUUACAGGAUCACCUAUUCACCCCCUCUAGGUGCUCUCAGGUACCUGUUCUUGACCUGUGGGGGGUGUGAGACAAUGAAGGUGAGCUCACAUACGUUCAUCGCUCAACAAGUUGUGGGGAAUAAUGUACAUGAACUCACCAAAGGAGGGAGCUCAUGUGAAGUGUAUAGGCUUACCAAAGAGGAUGGUUGAAGCUAAGCAUUGCUUUUAAAGUUGGUCAAAAUUUUAUUAGCAGUUACUAAGUGUAAGUAGAUAUCAACCCAAAUAAGUAAUAGAUCAAAAUUGGUAACAACACCCGCGAUGCAAUGCAUAUGACAAAUUAAGUCUAGUUCCAUAAAUUACUCAUGUGAGGGUCCGAGACGCUCAUGACCAUGAGCACGGCUGAUAUACCAGUUUUACACUUUGUAGAGGUUGUGCAUCUUUACCCACAAGUCAUGUUACCCAUCUGCCAAGGGGUCAUGAAUCCCAUACACCUCUACCAAGGAAGCGAGAGGCAGGGCAACACUACGAGGCCUUUACAAAGUUCCACUAUCUUUAGAAAACCCGCUACAGUUUCUAGGAAGUCCCAAUGCAGGGAUCCCUCGCAUGACCGCCAUCGCAGCAAAAUCAACCCAAGGACCUCCCUACACCAACCACUCCCCUACUGCCCUUGCCCCUUUUGGGUAAGGUAGUCAUCCACUAGCUUUUCUAAUUAAUCAGCCAAGGGCGUCCCAUACCACCCUUGUGGUAGCACUGUUUUCUUGGGUGAUUCUCCAUGUUCCAAUUAACAAUAUGAUCUUAUCAUGAACAAUAAUUAAACAACAACAUAAUUGGAACAUGAUCAUAAUGAAACAUUAGUUUCCCAAAACCAUGUAGAGCAAUAGCAAAGCUACCCAGUAAUUCAUCUACUUGCAAGGUGAGGGAUAAACAAUGCUAGGGAAACCUAUUAGGUCCCAUCAAAUUGACCUGAGCAUGUCACAGUGAUUAACAACGAACAUUAUUAGGUAAAAAGGAGUGAUCAACGGCACAACUUGCCUGAGACUCAAGAUUCCUAGGUACCAGCUUGGUCUUCAAGAUUCGUAACCUCACUGCUAAUCAUUACCAUACAAACAAACAUGGUAUAGGCAAAAUUAACAUCACACCAAACAUAAGCACAAUCAGCAUAAUAAUGAUUUAUGUGUCGCUACGAGAUCGUGGGCUCGAGAACCACUAAAUUCGGAGUUACGGUUCAGGAGAUAUAGUUUUCACAAGUUUUGGGUGAUUAACUGAUAAUAUAUUCUAUGUCAUAAUCAUGUGAGAAAAAUAUUACGAAGAAACAACUAAUUCAACUUUAGUAUAGUUUAUCACUUGAUUAGAUAUCCUGAUUUAGUCAAAUUAUAAUUGUAGAUAGGUUAACUUUAAUGAGCAAGCUUAAUCUACCAAACAAAGACUAAACAAUAUCUAAUUAUAAGAAUAUGUGUUAUGAUAAAACUAAUGUUGUUGUUGCGUAGACAAUGUUAUUACGAAGCUAACACAACUGAAAGGGAUUAAAUCAGAGUUAAAAUGAAUUAAUUAUGAAUUUUUGAAGUCUACUUCUAUGCUAGGGGUGUUUUUGUGAAUACAAGGGACUAAUUUGUAAAUUCUAGAAUUCUAGAGUAAGGCUUUGUCUGCGGCUAAGGACGACGGGUUUAUACAAAGAAAAGAUAGGGGCCCUAAUGUGGCAGAACCUCCCAAGUUAUUGACCCCAAAUGCACCUGUCCUUGUCUCACAGACCUCAGACGGCUAUGCAUGUGCACCACAUAACUUAACAGGAUCCGUCCGAGUGUCCCAAGGACCUAGGAUAAACCACUUACAACCAAGAUUGCAAGAUUAAGUAAACACAAAUCAAACACCAACAUUUUGCAGCGGAAUUUCUUUAUUACAAAAAGUUACAAGUUACAACAAAUUCACAUUAUAUUUAUCGGAGUGAUUACAAAAGUGAUUCAAAGAAAUAAACUUUGAAAUGUUUUAAAUUAUUUAUAAGUUUGAAAUAUAUGCUAGCUCAAUGACAAUCCUCAAUAAAAAGCAUAGAAGAGCGACUUUAACCUAUAGAAGGUCCUGCCAACCGGCGCUUAACACCAUCCACAGCAGCACAAAUCUAGUACCUGCAACAACAUGAGUUCGAAAACCCUGAGUACGGAGUGUACUUUCACAAGUCUUGCCCGACUAACGAAAAAGACUCAAGGAUAUGCUGGAUUUGGGAAUCAAGGAAAGGCUUUUAGCAAGGAUCAACAUUAAUAGUUUGCAGAAUGCUUACUAAAAUGAGUCCUUACUUUCAACAUUUUAUUGCUAGAUUAAGUAUUAAUAGACCUUGUUUGCAUCUAUUCUAAUUUCAUCAUCACAUUAAUCAAUACAACAUGACUUUUGCUCAUUAUGAUUCCAUCCAUGACUUAGAUUGCAGGUUAGAGACCAAGUCUUCACAUCAGAGAAGUAACGGCGAUCCGAAUCGAUUAAUACCCAGCUGGGGAUCUCCAACCACACGACAUAUGUAGCAUUUAACCCUUGCAUAUGUCAACUCGCCACCGGGUUUCUCAAGACCAGAAUGGGUUCACGCCAACCGAGAGCUUAGAUACUCCACCGUCCAACCUCUUGCCAAGGAGGGUACACACUACUCUUGCCAUCUCUCCACUCCCAUUGCGUGGUGGCCUUUCUGGUAUUGGUCCGACCGAGGCAAAGCUUACCCAUGACGAGGCAUAUGGUCAGUUAAAAGGUCCUCGGUCAGCAGGCCUACAUGCCUAUAAUCCUUAAUCAACCUGGGUAGAACAUCACCUGUUCCUAGCCCAAGUCUCGAUUUAAGUACUUUCAUCCUUAGGAUUGCUUGUGUUCCAUAGGAUGAUUAAAAUAUCAUAGGGAACCUUGCAUUAGAUCUCCCAAUGAUCCUGGUGAAAAUAUUCUUGUAGGUAGAGCCAUCAUUCCCCAGGAUAAACCUGAGCUAGGCAUUAGUGCAAAGGACAAACUCUAUCUGCAAGAUUUACCUUUAGGUAGGGCUAAGAAAUUUUGUAAAUCAUAUUUGAUACUUCACCAGAAGUAUCUAUAAAAGGAAUGGAUUUCAAGGUAGCCAAUGCAUCAAGGGUUUCCAAGCAACUCCUAUAAACCUAAUGCACAUUUCACUAGACUUAAAGUGUGUAAAAAUCAUUUAAAACACAAGGAAGGGGUUGCAUGCACCGGGGCUUGCCUGGAAUAACACUAGGUUAGUGUUUGUUAGAUGAUGUCCACUUGGUGAUCAACUUUUAUUCUGAUACUUGAUAAGGUCAUCCAUCUUCAGGUCCAUCAUCCGCAUCACCUUUUGGAGUUGCCCACCCGUUACAUCAUCUUGAGGGUCGACUUAGCUCUGGUCCUCCGCAUCACAUGGCUCACUAGCGUACCUACUGAGAUGCAUAAUGCGCAUGUAUAAACAUAAGGAAGAAUAACACAACAUAUUGCACACAAUAUAGAAUUAAGCACAAUGACGAGGCGCUGCAACACUUGUGAGAAAAUACUAGACGCCAACAAAUGACUAAGUACAACAAUGACAACCACGGGUUCUAACAGAAACAUCGAGAAAUAACAAACUAUACAUACCCAGUUCAACACUCGAGUUCCUCAUGUUCAACUUAAUUUACUUAAACCAGAAAUCACAACAAUUCAUAUACUCUAUAUUUCCCUAAUCUAGAGCAUACCUCAAAAGAUUAUCAAACUUGGGCUCAGUCUUCAAGGACACCUGAACACAGGCCUAAAUAGUCACUACUUCAAAUACACUCACCGUAAUAUUUACUUCCUUCCCAAUUACUAAAGUCUAAAGCAAACAAUAAGAAGGAAAUAAAUUAGUCAAAUAUAACAAGGCAUUUCGAUAAACACUUCCUAUGCAACAAGUUGCCAUCAAUCAAGGAUCAAGAAUUGACUAAUCCUACCUAGCCAAACAAGAAUGACAACAAGCAAUAAAUUGCAGGUUUUUCUGGACAGCACUCAGCAGUCAAUUGUUUUGCUCAUAACUCACAAGAUAUUAAUCCAAAAAUAGUGAAACAAGACUUUCUAGAAAGCUAAUGAAAUCCCCUAUAACUUUUGUAUUAUCAGCACAACAUGAUUCGACAUUCUUAAAGGUCAAUCAGUGCUAAACGUAAAUUCUGCCCAGAUUUGGACAGAAUUCAACUACUUCAUAAAUUUAUAACUAGAGUUUCAGGUGAUUCUAGACUUUUUAGAAAGCUAUUAGAAUUGUCUACAAUUCAUUUAUAAUUAUCUCAAGGUGAGUCAAUGUGUAUCGAAGUCAAUUAAUACAAACACACAUUGCUGUCCAGACUUUUGACAGAUUCAAACAUCACAUUUCAAACAGCUAUAACUUGACUUCUAGACCACCAAAAAGGGUGCUCCAAAAUUUUUUGGAAAGCUUAAGAAAAGUACUACAAGUCUCCUAUAAUUACUAAGGGCUGAUUCUAAGUUUAACUUGGGCAAACAAUGUUAUUUUCGAAAUCAGUACAGAAUCUGGGCAGAUUCUGAGACUGGACUUUGAAAAAUCAUAACUCCUAAACUACUAAACCUAUGGUCAUGAAAUUUUUACACAAUCAAGAUAAAGAAGUUAUCUACAACUUUUCUAUAGUAUAUUUCUACAGAAAAUGCACUUUAGUUCGUCAAACAAAUAGCACGGCAGAAACUGUACAUGCAGUAAAAACUGUGAGUAUGCAAUUUUAACUCCUAGUGAGGCUCUAUAGUAUCAAGUUAUUGAUACAUAGAAAUGCUUCAUUAUUUUAUAAUUCAUUAGAGUUCAAACAACCAAAUGAGAACCAACAGUCGAUUUACUAACUACAUUCAAAUUAUUUGGAGCACUAGAAUUAUAACCACACAUAUGCACCAUGACCAAUUUGGCGAUCAGACAUAGUACACAUGUAUGAUAGACAACAUACUCAUCAUAACCAACAUACUACUCAAUUCAUCUAUCAACCACUAUCUGAAACAAUGAUUUGGCUCACCGUUAUUUGCCUAACUUGAUAAUCCACACAAACAGUGACGCUCUCCGAUUCAAUCAUUUCAUCGAACAUCUGGCACUUGUCGCACGGCUUGCCUUGCCUCACCAAUAUGUAAUUCCUCACAACUCGCACAUUACGCACACACAUAUACAUACAUUGGCAUCUAAUAACGUGAUUUUGGGUAUUAGUACUGGCGAGGAAUGAACAAAGGGAGAAACGGGUCCUCACCGGGGUUGACGACAACAUGUCGAAGCUGUCCAAACACGAAGGCGAAGACGAUGGAGCGAAUAACGCACAUACGACACAUCAGGACAAAUUUCUUAAGGAUAGGUAUUUCCUCGAGCAGUCAGCGAGCAUCGUGGACGUAAUACUGCUCCAGCGUGCAACUGCACAAUAUUCAUAUGCGCGUUAAAAAUCAAUACACGACGGUACACUAACAACUACUUUAUGUUGGUUGCUAAAUGCGCCUUCAGCAUCCUACAGACGUUCGAUAAAGACCUUUAGCAACCUAUAAAGAUGGUGGUUGUAAGUACCGUCACUAAACAGUCACACCCGGUUUUAAGGACAAAACCAGAUGUUCCACUAUACAUGAAAUCAGAUGAGAAUCACAUGUAUAGCAACGUCACAUAGUAGAUUAUGUCAAAACACAUUGAUUUAUUAUAUCGAAACCAGUAUUUAUUAGAUAACCACUAUGCAACAGUAUCAUUGACGACUAUCAAUAUUUGUCACCGUGUGUAUAAUAAUACAUAUAUUAUUAUAACCAAGAUUAUGCAAUGUAAACCAAAUAGUCGACGUGUUUAUAUAUACUUAGAGAUACAUAUACAUGCUACUACUUUCUUAUUUGUAGGUAGGCACGUACUUUUUGCGAGUAGGUGCUUACAUCAGUCUUGUUGUAAAUAUUUGGUGGUCACAUUGCACUAGUACACAGAAGCUCUAUAUUGGCGGUCUUAGAGAUAUUUACACUAGCGAUUUUUAGUGCCGCUGGUGCUAGGUGCUAGUGGAAAUCAGCCUUUUAUUGGCGGUUGUUGUGCAACCGCCAGUGAAAAUAUCAUUUUCACUAGUAGCUGUAUUAAACAAACCGCCAGUGGAAAGAACAUUUCCACCGGCAGCUUUAUUAUGCAAACUGCCGUCAUUUCCUCGGACACGGCUCUAUGUAAUUGCUGUGUACAUGAAUUGCCGAUCCUAACACGGACGUGGUUCGCAUUCGGUUUGCAUUCUAAAACCGGGUGUGACAGUACCAUCUUGUAUUGAUUUUUAACGCGCAUAUGAAUAUUGUGCUUGCUUUUUGGGUUUUGACAUGGUGGUUUGGUAGCAACGGUGCAUAAUUAUAUAUGAAGUAUAGUUUUGGGAGGCUUUAUCAAAUCCUAACUUUCAUGUGGUUUUUAUGUAAAUCUUGGUGAAUUAUAAGGUAUAAGCCCAAAUAAUACUCGUUAUUAAAAUUGGAAUGCAUCAAAGUGCCAAACAUUGGACCGUAAGUAAGGAAUUAUUCGUUAGUAUAUAUUGCAUAUGUACCUUGUCCAUUUUUAUUACUCGUGUGCUCGAAAGCAGUGGUCCAUUGACGGGUGGAUUGUAUUGAAAAUUGCGGCAACAUUAAUCGAUGGAAGGGACGGUGGAUACUACAAGUAUUAGGAAGCAUUGCCAUAAGUGUGACAUGUAGACCUUCAAGAUUUCGCAUAACAUAAUGGCCUUUAAAAAAGACUAUAAUAUAUAACCACAUCUGUAGACAAUCGAUAAUAAACACGAGACAUAUAAUUAUUUAUUAUUAAAUAUAUUGAUUAACACAAUCACUGAAGUACAAGUAGAGCCAUCACACACGUACAUAUUUUAAACCAGCCAUGCAAGUAACUUUAGAUAUCACACUCGCUCGCAUUAUUGAAAUCAAAUUUGUGCGUAAUCCAUCAAGGCGUAAUAAAAUUGAAGGCUUGGCAUUGUGGCACAAUCUAGCCAAUAUAUGGUGCUGGGUUAACCACAACAGCCUGACCAUUGACGAUGUCGUUGUAGAUACAAACACGUACGGUACCAUCUUGGAGUGGAGACGGGACCCCAUCUGGAGGGAGUACUCGAACUUCGGUUAUAUUGGGAUUAUCUUGACGGAUAAUGUUAACCGCAUCUACAACGGGGUAGCCAACCAGAUCAGGCCAUGUUUGGGUCGUUAUACCAAGCUUGACGACCUCCAUCAAUCAAUCAGAUAGUGUCCUUCUGAAACUGUUAUAAUUGCCAACAAGCAUCAAUAAUCAAGGAAAACUGACAUAGUGUAAACAAACACAUUAUUUUAAAAACAUAACGGCAUCGAUCAUAUAUAUGGCAUGCUUGAGCAUGUUGGUAAAUACCUACGUACCUGCAAAGAAGAAACUAGUAGCCUGUAUAAGGAGAGAAUAGGAGAUGGUAGGUGCUCUAUGUAUGUCUAUGCAUGUAUAUAUAUACACACGGUGACUAUUUGGAUUGCAUGCAUCCUCUCGGUGAUAACAAUGGAUGUAUUUUAUGGACCCGUUCAUAUUGCUACCGAUUUUAAUACUCAGCUCGUCGAUGAUAACGGUGCAUCCAUUUUUCUUCUUUUACUUAGUAAACAUCGUCGGCACAUGUUGUGGUUAAUUAACAGCAUCAUCUUCUCGAUCUAAUUGUGGAUUGUGCUGCUCCUGCUUGUUAUUAGCUGGCAGUACAGCCCUUUGUUUACACGGUACUAGCACAGUACGUACUUGGCUGGUACCAAAACGUUGGACGGAACCGAGUCACGCAUGAAGGACGGAACAGUCAGCAGUCACCGCCAUGGCAUGCAUGUCUGUUAUCUGUAGCGCACGAUGACAUCAGAAGCGGAACCAACUUCUUUGCAAGGCAACGAACCAAAGGCACCAUCUCCUAUUUGUUUGGUUCAGUAAUCAAUAGCGUAUUCCUUUUAGAGAGGCAGAAGAAAGGAGUGGAGGGAUGAAGGCAACGAACCAAUGAAGUCGCGUGGGCCGCGGGAACGAGAUUGUAAAUUUUCAACAGCUGUUCCGUUCGUGUAAUCAACUGGUGAAAAAUAUUUGCACUAGAUCCACUUGUGUAGUAGCCUAUGCAUAUUUAAGUCUAUUUUAUGUUUUCUUUUUCUCCUUUUCCUUUUAUUGUGCAAUGUGACAUGUUUUUUAUGUAUCGUUACAUGAAUUUUUGAAAGUUUAAGUACCUACUCAGGAUUUUUGUAGACUCUCCGUCUUUCGGUACCAUGUUAUUAUUCAUUUGGCAAUAUUUGUAACACCAUUUCUGCGAACACAAUAUUGACCUAUCCCUUUUGGUUCGGGUUGAUGAUUAGUGAUCGCCAACGGGUAGCACUCUAGAGUAGUCAGUGGACUAACUAGACUAUGAGAUUAUGUAUCUACAACCAUGUCGGUCGCAUUAGGGUGUGCAGGUGUGGAGCACAGGGGCGGUGGUCGACGACGAAGGUAAAAGUCAUGUGGGUUCGUGCUGAUGUACCGGGAGUGGUGAAAGACAAGCGAUCUGACUUGACUUAGGGACCGGAGUCGCUGGGUGACCAACCGUGGUGACUGACACCUGGGACACGCACUCGCGUUAGGACGUGGCGUAGCGGGCUGUGUUGCCGAGACAGUCUAGGACUAGCGGAACACAUGUCCAAUAUGUGGGGGACGCGCAUGCGGUGCGAUACUCACGAAGGUUUGGUGGUUGAGCCUCAAAACGAACAUGCGCUACAGAUGGCCGGGUUUGCCGAGUGUCGGUCUGGCAACACUCGACAAAGUAGCUUCUUUGCCGAGUGCCAACGCCUGGCGCUCCGCAAAGUUAACGGUCGUCAGCUAUAGACGACUGCUGACGGCCCUUUGACGCUAGCGUCGCUGUGUGUCGAGUGUUUGGCACUCGGCAAAGAGGUCUUUGCCGAGUGUAUUCCUAUGCCGAGCGUCCUACUCUCGGUAAACGUGGUCGUUACCGAGAGUAGGACUUUGCCGAGUGCAGCGCUCGACAAAGAAUUCUUUGCCGAGUGCCUGAAAAAAUGUACUCGGCAAAGACUCGAGCACUCGACAAAGAGCCGGGUUCCGGUAGUGCAUUUAGAUAUGCUACUAUAGAAAAGGUUUCUACCAACACUAGAUUUACCACUGCAUGCUUCUGUGAAAACUAAAUAUAAAUAAUUUCAACAACUAUUUGCAGUAGCAUACAAUGAUGGAAAUCAUUCUUAUUUUAAAUCUGGGGCAUUAUAUGAUUGGUUGCGAAAAUAGAUUUUACGACUUGGCGAGGGGUUAAGGAUGACAAGGUGACCCCACAAGUCAGGGACCGAGCGUGAGGGUGUGCGUGAAGGCGGCUAACGAGGAAGUCCCACCUGUCAGCAGCUACGAGAGGGUGAAAUCGACGCCGCACUGCUGCACCUAAUGGGGUGGUCCCGCCUGUCAGUGAUUGAAGAGCACUGUUAUGCUGGUAUGCUGUGCUUCUAGGCCGAAAGCCACUUGGCCCGCUUAGGGGCACUAUUUUAUCUUUAAAAUUUAUGAGAAAGAGAUUUUGAGUUUAAAAUUCAAAUUCAAAUGCAAAUGACUUCAUAUAAAUUUGAAACAUUGUCAGAAAUUCGUUUAUAGGCAUACAAACAUCUUGGCAAAAUAUGAAGACAUAUAUUUUUAUAAAUAAUUAAUGCACAAAAAUUAAUUCCCUCGUUCUCCUUAAUUAUUGGACAAGAGAGUCACAUGUGAUAAAAAUUUCAAAAUCCUUAAAAUUAUUGAUAUGGGUUUGUAUGAUUACAAUAGACUUUGCACAUUACAAAGGUAGGGUUGUCGAGUACUCAGGAACCGAGUACCCGAAAUAGGCCGGUGGCCUCUUUAAAUAUGGACCACUAGCCGACCAAACCUACGUCGAGCAACCAUGCGAGGCGGAGCGACCGACCAAGUCCCUGCCGAGCAACUAUGCGAGGUAGAGCCACAGGUCCCCGCCAAGCAACUCGGCGAGGUAGAGCAACCGACCAGGUCCCCACCAAGUAACGCUGCGAGGCGGAAUGGCCGACCAACUCCUGAUCGAGCAACUUGGCGAGGCGGAGGUCCCAAUCCAGUACUGCUGACCCAUGUCAAGUACAACAAGAAGCAUCAUCCACAUGUCACAUCUGGGCAUACGUGUGGCACACCCAAGGCGCGUCGGGAAGUCCCUGUCGACACAAACGUACGCCCCCACGUACGGUCCAAAUGUACCCGCGCUGCCUUGUUGGGCCAGUCAAACCCGGUCAUGGGGGAUCUCUGCCCUAGAGUCUCUACAGUGACUCGCAUACCGCGAGGGACGCGACAAUACACUGCACCGGUUGUAUGGUGGAGGGUGACGCAAGGAUCAUGAUGAUAGGCAAGGUUGUGCCAUGUGCACCCUCACCAUGAGACUGGAUAAUGGGACCCGCCACACAUGUCACACCCGAGUUUCGGGGGCACCAAGACCCGAGCGUGAACAUAAUCAAGCGUGUUGGAACCAAGUCUCACACAUAUGAUGAAUCAUGGUACAGAAACGAAUGCCACAUCUUUACUAUACAAUAGGAGUUCUAUACAAAAUAAAUAAAUAAUUACAUCAUAAUGAGACAGCGAUCUAGCAACCCAAAGUUGACUGGGAGACGACGGCCUAGACUUCUCACGAAAUCAUCACAGCAUCCUCCAUGUGCCUCAUCCUGCGGUACUGAAAGGGAAAUGUGCCCUUGGGCCAUUUCUAUAAUGUUUUGGUGAUUAAGUGUCCAACACAUAGUGAAUGAGAUAUUGUGUGCCAAACAAGCAUAAAGGUGCAAAUCAUGUAAUGAGGUACGUUUCUAGACUUAAUACAUUGUUUUGAGUACUAACAUAUUUUGUCUAAGUGCUAGAAACAGACAAAAGAAGAAAAGAAAAGAGAUGCAAAAGACUUGGCUUGGUACAGCCAAAUUACAGCUCGGCUUGGCACACUGGACUAUCCGGCGGUGCACCGGACAGUGUCCAGUGCGCCAGGUCAGCCUCCGGUGAACAGGCCACUCUCGGGAAAAAUCGGCGGCGUAGGGCUAUAAUUCACCGGACUGUCCGAUGGUGCACCGGACUGUCAGGUGAGCCAACGGCCGCCAGCGCAACGGUCGGCCACGCAAUCCGCGGGCGACGCGUGGCCCGCGCCAACGGUCGGCAGGGGGCACCGAACUGUCCGGUAUGCACCGGACAGUGUCCGGUGCGCCAACUGCCACGGCGCUGCAACGGUCAUCUGCACCAAAUUAGGAAGGAGAUUUGCACCGGAUAUGCUACAGUGACUGUCCAGUGGUGCACCAGACUGUCCAGUGCACCACCCGACAGAAGGAAAUUUUGGCCUUCCUUGUCCUAGCAUAGAUAGGGCCGCUCGGCGUGAGUUGCAACAUGACCCAAUUUAUGAUCCACAAGAGUGUUAGGUAAAGUACACAUCUUUAGUUUCGUGUGUGUACCUAAUUAGCUGAUUUCACAAUGUCUAUUACACAUGCUUGUUUUGCAUUUUAUUACAUGAAUAGGAGGUCUUGUCUCAAUAUCGUGCGAUGUUUGAUGAAGCCGUGGCAUGAUAUCAAGAUGCACCGGAGCUGAACCAAGACAAAGACGCACCAGUACCGACCGAUACAACCAUUGAGAGGUCAAGGAAAAGGAAGUAGAGUGAUCGGGAAAGAGGUGACAUCGAACUAAACAAGUUUCCUGACAAAACAUAUAAAAUCUCAGAUGUGAGCCUGAAAGGUCACACCUUAGCUCUAGAAGAGGCACUCCCUAAUUUCUGGAAUGGACUUGGGUUCUUAGUUAGAGAUAAUCUUGACAUCACAAUCCGACAUUGGAGAGAUGUGUCAGUUGAUGUCAAGAAUCAAAUAUGGAAUAAGCUAUUAACGAGGUUCGUUCUGCCUCGGGGUUCAGAAGAACUCGUGAAGUACUACAUGAUGAAGCAGCUUGCAAUCCAUUUCCGAAACUAGAGAUCUGAGAUGAAUAAAAAGUUUGCAAAGAAAGGCCUAGACGCGACAAAAAAUAUAAAAUCUCAGUAGGUCACUGGGCGGUAUUUCUAGAGCAGAGAAGCAGCCCUGAUUUCAUAUCUCUAUGCGAGGCAAAUUCGGAACUCUCUAAGAAGAACAAGUACCACCACCAUUUAGGCACAGGUGGUUACAAGCGUUAGAUUUCUAAAUGGAGACAAGAAGAUGCCAAGAAGAAGGCCGCAGGGUUACCGACACUGUCCGAGCAACUUGGUGAAAGGAUGACUAAUGGGAUCCGUGCUAGAAAACCAAGGGAAACUGAAGCUAGUGUAUCUUUUGAUGAUCCAAAUGUCGAAGAAGCGGCAAAAAACAUAUAUGCAAUGGCAUCUAAGCAGAGCACAGUGGGAGAGAGACAUCAUAACGGCUGGUCUCGGUAACCCUGAGCAUCCUCGUCGUGUAUGAGGAAUCUAGUCUAACGAACGAUGGAAGGAAAGAUUCAGACCACAGUGGGAAGGUCUGUACAAGAAACGUGAUCGAUACAAAGAAGAGUUGUCGAAUUAUUUUAACAAGGAGGCCAAUAAAGAGUUCAAAGACCUGAUGUCUCAAAUGCUAUCAAAUCCUCCUCCAAAAUUGAUCCACAUUCUCUACAGCCAUCAAGGGAUCCACGACCAUCAAAGAAAUCUAAAUUCCCUAUACCAAAAUUGGUGUCCACGUUCGAGAAAAAGAAGAGUAAAGCUACAACUGCUGGCACAACUCAAUUUAUGAAAGGGAUUGCACGGGACCUCACGUCACAUACUAUUGAUUUGGCCGAGUACGAGGAGUCUGCAAAAAAGGCUGAGGCAAUGGCCGCAAAGAUAAAGAUCCCAACUAAGGCAGAUUAUAAAAAUGUGCCUAAAUAUUUGUGCUGGGAAAUUGAAGAAGGUCCCAACUGGUAAAAGGAUGCAUGACUAGUACAUGCGGGCAUCAUCAGUUGGCAUUGACGCCAUUAGUGUACAUAUACCAGACCAUGCUUUUAUUGGUUCGGACCAAAAGGCCUUUGUUGCAUUUGAGGACAUGUGGUUAAUGAUGAACCUUCAGAGACUCGACGUGCAACUUGUGACUGUGUUUGCACUGUAAGUGUCGCUCAUACUUCCACAUAUAUGUGUUAUUAUUAGUGAGUUGUAUAAAUUUUUAAUAUCUGACAUGCACGUGUGACUUGUAGAAUGCAACGUGAUCAACAUGAGAUCCUUUACGGUACCAAGCCCAGUGCUAGUGCCGGUAAAAGGAUUGGGCAUCUCAACCCAAUACUGAUAUGCGAGGAAAGCCACACUUUCAGAAUCGGGAAAUACAACGAAGAGUUAAAGGUAAAGACGGACGAAGAAGUUGAGGAGCGUCUAAAGAUUAUGAAGAAGAAGAUUGAAACAAGUUUCGCCACCUACAUAGCAAACACAAUGAUUCAAUUUCAAGACAAGGAAGCCAUAAUGGCCCCGUACAACUUUAAGUAAGUGUGAUUUUGCAUAAAUAAGAUUAAUAAUUUCAAUACACAUGCAUCAAAAAUUUGCUUCGUACAGGGACCACUGGAUAUGCUUCCUCAUUUAUCCUAAGGUUGGAAAGGUGCUGGUGCUCGACUCCUUGAACUACGACCCUACGACCUAUGCAAAAUUCCUCAGUAUCUUAGAGCUGUAAGCCUUUUCUAUGCAUGCAUACUUAUAUCGAUGACAAUUUUAAAAUAACAUGGAGAUUUUGUUUGAGAUAACAGAUCAUUUAGGUAAUAUAAGUGGAAAGGUGGAAAGUACGACACGUCCAAAAAAUGCUUGCCACUAGACAUCCAUCUUCACUAGCCAGUAAGUAUGUGAAUUUAUGAAUACAUACCAUACACAAUGUCGCAACUAAAUAACCAAUCUCCCAUUAUGUAGUGCCACAAGCAACCAUAAGGAUCGAUCCUAUGUGGGUUCUAUGCGUGCGAGUUCAUGAGAAUGAAUGGACGAUACAUCACAAACCCUUGCAAGGUAUUAUUGGUAAUAGUCAUGUUUGUAUUUAUGUCAUUAAAGAUGCAAAUGUGUUAUCGAGUGUGAAUAGAUGAUGUUUAUAAACUUCCUUGACAGGAAUUUCAAAAAUAAAAUCCAGAGAACUUGACCGAAGGUGCAUUGUAUGGCAUAAUUGAAGACCUAUGCACAUUCGUAUUGAAAGAGGUCAUUCUCGCUGAAGGGAAAUGUCAUGAUGCUUGCAAUACAUUAGCUAUGCCAGAGUUUAGAAUACUAACAGAAGUUAGUAGACUAUCUCUUAGACGAGAUAGUUAUUAGAGCAUAGGUGAAAAUUUUUGAUGUAUAGAAUGUGUGAAGCAUAUAUGGUUGUAAACAUAAGACUUUGAUGUAUAGAAUGUAUGAUAAAAUGUAAUUCCAUGUUGCUUUCAAUAUGUGUGUGUGUGUAAAUAAAUAUAAAAAUCAGUUUUGUUUGAAAAUUUAAAAAAAGUCGGGAAAACUUAUACUGGCGAGAAAUGUUAAGGAAACCGACAGUGAAAAUAACAUUUCCGCUCGCGGUUUUAUUAAGCAAACCGCCCGUGAAAUAACUUUUGCACUGGCGAUUUCCACUCGCGGUUUUAUUAAGCAAACCACAAGUGGAAAUAACAUUUCCACUAGCGGCUUUAUUAAGCAAACCGCCUGGCGGCUUUAUUAAGCAAACCGCUAGUGGAAAUAAACUUCCACUGGCGGUUUACUUAAUACAUCCGCUAGUGGAAAUGCUAUUUUCACUAGCCGCUGCAAAACAACCGCCAGUGAAAACGCCGAUUUCCACUAGCCCGUAGCACGAGUGGCACUGGAAAAUGCUAGUGCAAAUAGCUCUAAGACCGCCACUAUAGAGCUUCUGUGUACUAGUGCAAUCUGACCACUAAAUAUUUACUACAAGACUGAUUUAAGCACCUACUAGCAAAAAUACGUGCCUAACUACAAAUAAGAAAGUAGUAGCAUGUAUAUGUAUCUCUAAAUAUAUAUAAACACGUCGACUAUUUGGUUUACAUUGCAUCAUCUCGGUGAUAAUAAUAUAUGUAUUAUUAUACACAAGGUGACAAAUAUUGAUAGUCGUCAAUGCUACUGUUGCAUAGUGGUUAUCUAAUAAAUACUGGUUUUGAUAUAAUAAAUCAAUGUGUUUUGAUAUAAUCCAUUGUGUGACGUUGCUAUACAUGUGAUUCUCAUCCGAUUUCAUGUAUAGUGGAACAUCUGGUUUUGUCCUUAGAACCGGGUGUGACUGUUUAGCGAUGGUACUUACAACCACCAUCUUUAUAGGUUGCUAAAGGUCUUUAUUUACAUCUGUAGGAUGCUGAAGGUGCAUUUAGCAACCAACAUGAAGUAGGUCUUUUUCUGUUAUUAUUUGAGCACUGUGUGAUGAUGUCCAACUAUAUAAUUGUUGUGUGACACGAACACGGUUCGCAUUCGGUUUGCCUUCUAAAACCGGGUGUGAUAGUACCGUCGUGUAUUGAUUUUUAACGCACAUAUGAAUAUUGUGCCUACUUUUUGCGUUUUGACAUUGUGGUUUGGUAGCAACGGUGCAUAAUUAUAUAUGAAGUAUAGUUUUGGGAGGCUUUAUCAAAUCCUAACUUUCAUGUGGUUUUUAUGUAAAUCUUGGUGAACUAUAUGGUAUAAGCCCAAAUAAUACUCGUUAUUAAAAUUGGAAUGCAUCAAAGUGCCAAACAUUGGACCGUAAGUAAGGAAUUAGUCGUUACUAUAUAUUGCAUAUGUACCUUGUCCAUGUUUAUUACUCGUGUGCUCGAAAGCGGUGGUCCAUUGACGGGUGGAUUGUAUUGAAAAUUGCGGCAACAUUAAUCGAUGGAAGGAACGGUGGAUACUACAAGUAUUAGGAAGCAUUGCCAUAAGUGUGACAUGUAGACCUUCAAGAUUUCGCAUAACAUAAUGGCCUUUAAAAAAGACUAUAAUAUAUAACCACAUCUGUAGACAAUCGAUAAUAAACACGAGACAUAUAAUUAUUUAUUAUUAAAUAUAUUGAUUAACACAAUCACUGAAGUACAAGUAGAGCCAUCACACACGUACAUAUUUUAAACCAGCCAUGCAAGUAACUUUAGAUAUCACACUCGCUCGCAUUAUUGAAAUCAAAUUUGUGCGUAAUCCAUCAAGGCGUAAUAAAAUUGAAGGCUUGGCAUUGUGGCACAAUCUAGCCAAUAUAUGGUGCUGGGUUAACCACAACAGCCUGACCAUUGACGAUGUCGUUGUAGAUACAAACACGUACGGUACCAUCUUGGAGUGGAGACGGGACCCCAUCUGGAGGGAGUACUCGAACUUCGGUUAUAUUGGGAUUAUCUUGACGGAUAAUGUUAACCGCAUCUACAACGGGGUAGCCAACCAGAUCAGGCCAUGUUUGGGUCGUUAUACCAAGCUUGACGACCUCCAUCAAUCAAUCAGAUAGUGUCCUUCUGAAACUGUUAUAAUUGCCAACAAGCAUCAAUAAUCAAGGAAAACUGACAUAGUGUAAACAAACACAUUAUUUUAAAAACAUAACGGCAUCGAUCAUAUAUAUGGCAUGCUUGAGCAUGUUGGUAAAUACCUACGUACCUGCAAAGAAGAAACUAGUAGCCUGUAUAAGGAGAGAAUAGGAGAUGGUAGGUGCUCUAUGUAUGUCUAUGCAUGUAUAUAUAUACACACGGUGACUAUUUGGAUUGCAUGCAUCCUCUCGGUGAUAACAAUGGAUGUAUUUUAUGGACCCGUUCAUAUUGCUACCGAUUUUAAUACUCAGCUCGUCGAUGAUAACGGUGCAUCCAUUUUUCUUCUUUUACUUAGUAAACAUCGUCGGCACAUGUUGUGGUUAAUUAACAGCAUCAUCUUCUCGAUCUAAUUGUGGAUUGUGCUGCUCCUGCUUGUUAUUAGCUGGCAGUACAGCCCUUUGUUUACACGGUACUAGCACAGUACGUACUUGGCUGGUACCAAAACGUUGGACGGAACCGAGUCACGCAUGAAGGACGGAACAGUCAGCAGUCACCGCCAUGGCAUGCAUGUCUGUUAUCUGUAGCGCACGAUGACAUCAGAAGCGGAACCAACUUCUUUGCAAGGCAACGAACCAAAGGCACCAUCUCCUAUUUGUUUGGUUCAGUAAUCAAUAGCGUAUUCCUUUUAGAGAGGCAGAAGAAAGGAGUGGAGGGAUGAAGGCAACGAACCAAUGAAGUCGCGUGGGCCGCGGGAACGAGAUUGUAAAUUUUCAACAGCUGUUCCGUUCGUGUAAUCAACUGGUGAAAAAUAUUUGCACUAGAUCCACUUGUGUAGUAGCCUAUGCAUAUUUAAGUCUAUUUUAUGUUUUCUUUUUCUCCUUUUCCUUUUAUUGUGCAAUGUGACAUGUUUUUUAUGUAUCGUUACAUGAAUUUUUGAAAGUUUAAGUACCUACUCAGGAUUUUUGUAGACUCUCCGUCUUUCGGUACCAUGUUAUUAUUCAUUUGGCAAUAUUUGUAACACCAUUUCUGCGAACACAAUAUUGACCUAUCCCUUUUGGUUCGGGUUGAUGAUUAGUGAUCGCCAACGGGUAGCACUCUAGAGUAGUCAGUGGACUAACUAGACUAUGAGAUUAUGUAUCUACAACCAUGUCGGUCGCAUUAGGGUGUGCAGGUGUGGAGCACAGGGGCGGUGGUCGACGACGAAGGUAAAAGUCAUGUGGGUUCGUGCUGAUGUACCGGGAGUGGUGAAAGACAGACGAUGUGACUUGACUUAGGGACCAGAGUCGCUAGGUGACCAACCGUGGUGGCUGACACCUGGGUCACGCACUCGCGUUAGGACGUGGCGUAGCGGGCUGUGUUGCCGAGACAGUCUAGGACUAGCGGAACACAUGUCCAAUAUGUGGGGGACGCGCAUGCGGUGCGAUACUCACGAAGGUUUGGUGGUUGAGCCUCAAAACGAACAUGCGCUACAGAUGGCCGGGUUUGCCGAGUGUCGGUCUGGCAACACUCGACAAAGUAGCUUCUUUGCCGAGUGCCAACGCCUGGCGCUCCGCAAAGUUAACGGUCGUCAGCUAUAGACAACUGCUGACGGUCCUUUGACGCUAGCGUCGCUGUGUGUCGAGUGUUUGGCACUCGGCAAAGAGGUCUUUGCCGAGUGUAUUCCUAUGCCGAGCGUCCUACUCUCGGUAAACGUGGUCGUUACCAAGAGUAGGACUUUGCCGAGUGCAGCGCUCGGCAAAGAAUUCUUUGCCGAGUGCCUGAAAAAAUGUACUCAGCAAAGACUCGAGCACUCGACAAACAGCCGGGUUCCGGUAGUGCAUUUAGAUACGCUACUAUAGAAAAGGUUUCUACCAACACUAGAUUUACCACUGCAUGCCUUUGUGAAAACUAAAUAUAAAUAAUUUCAACAACUAUUUGCAGUAGCAUACAAUGAUGGAAAUCAUUCUUAUUUUAAGUCUGGGCCAUUAUAUGAUUGGUUGCGACAACAUAUUUUACGUCUUGGCGAGGGGUUAAGGAUAACAAGGUGACCCCACAAGCCAGGGACCGAGCGUGAGGGUGUGCGUGAAGGCGGCUAACGAGGAAGUCCCACCUAUCAGCAGUUACGAGAGGGUGAAAUCGACGCCGCGCUGCUGCACCUAAUGGGGUGGUCCCGCCUGUCAGUGAUUAAAGAGAGCGGUUAUGCUGGUAUGCUGUGCUUCCUAGGCCGAAAGCCACUUGGCCAGCUUAGGGGCACUAUUUUAUCUUUAAAAUUUAUGAGAAAGAGAUUUUGAGUUUAAAAUUCAAAUUCAAAUGCAAAUGACUUCAUAUAAAUUUGAAACAUUGUUAGAAAUUCGUUUAUGGCCAUAGAAACAUCUUGGCAAAUUAUGAAGACAUAUAUUUUUAUAAAUAAUUAAUGCACAAAAAUUAAUUCCCCGUGUUCUCCUUAAUUAUUGGACAAGAGAGUCACAUGUGAUAAAAAUUUCAAAAUCCUUAAAAUUCUUGAUAUCGGUUUGUAUGAUUACAAUAAACUUUACACAUAACAAAGGUAGGGUUGUCGAGUACUCAGGAACCGAGUACCCAAAAUAGGCCGAUGGACUCUUUAAAUAUGGCCCACUAGCCGACCAAACCUAUGUCGAGCAACCAUGCGAGGCGGAACGACCGACCAAGUCCCUGCUGAGCAACUAUGCAAGGCAAAGCCACAGGUCCUCGCCAAGCAACUCGGCGAGGUAGAGCAACCGACCAGGUCCCCGCCCAGUAACGCUCCGAGGCGGAUGUUGGGGCGAAGGCGAAGACGCUACCCUUCGCUCGAUGCCUUCGCCAAUCUCGCUGCACCAACGGAGACAAGACGACUGGCAGUCUCCACUCUUCAUCCAAUACGCUGCAAGACGAAGGCCUACGACGAGGUCGCUCUGUCUCGCGGCCUCAUCCAACGCGAAGGCCCACGUAGAAUUCGGCCCAUUGUAAUAGGCCCCGCGCGGCUGCUGCGUAUUACGGGCCCGGUUUGUGAAGGCUUUUCUGUAAUGACAGUUUGUAACCCUACUUUAUGGGAAUAUUCCAGGGAUGACCUAGGCGCCUGAAUGCACAUGCGUCCUUAAUCCAUGAUGCUGGGCACUCAGGCACCUAUAAAUACCCCCGCAAAGUGCCCUUGAGAGGCUAGAUUAAUAGAGCAAUUGCCUUCUUGAGCUAAAACCUGGUUCGCUUUACUUUCACUCCCCCGUUGGAUCAUCUUGCUCGGGAGAGCGAGUUCCAACAUUUGGCGCCCACCGUUCGUGCUACGAAAAACCAUCCGCGAUGGCACCCAAGAGAGCUAGCUCGAAGGCAGCCCCAUCCGUUGACGAAGCUGCGAAGGCAGCGCUGCUGGCUGAGAAAAAGGGCAAGGCCCUUGUCGACACCCCCCACCAAGAAGCCUGCGAAGACGACGCACUCAGCAAGAGGCAGCGCAAUGAACAACCCACACCCGAAGGCAGUCUUCGCACCUGCAGCUCCAGAGGACAACCGCAACCUCCCCCAGGCUUCGCUCCACCAGAGGGCGCGGACGCCACCGAGGACGGCGAAGUCAUCGGCGUCUCAGCAGAGGAACAACUACAGCUGCGUGCCUUGCGCAUCAAGAACCGCAACCUGCAGAAGCAAAAAGAGAUCCUCGAGGCCAAGCGCCAACGUGUGUCUGCGCAAGCCAAGGUGCGCCAGAUGAUACGCGACGAAGAGCAAAAGGCUCAGGAGCUUGAGCAGGAGAUCGCGCUCAUGCAGCGCGAAGGCCAACUCGGUCUGCAACACGGCCCACCCCUCCAACAGCGCGCGCAAAUCGAAGACCUGUUCAUCCCUCAGCACAGACACGCCAUCCCGCACGCCGCAGCAUUCCAAGGUGUCAACUACCUUGACGAGCGGAGUCCCCUGGCGCCCCACCUGCAAGUGUCACCAUGGCUCGCCAACUUCAGGGCAGGGACCUAUCCCAAGUACAACGGCAGCACUGACCCAACACAGUAUAUCAUGAGCUAUCAGGUCGUCGUUGCAUCAUCCGGAGGGGACGACGCCACGAUGGACAAGUCAUUCAUCAUCGCCCUCGAAGGCCCGGCCCUCACCUGGUACAACAGGUUGCCCCCGUUGUCCAUCGACUCCUGGAGAAGUCUUCGGGACAAAUUCCUGCUCAACUUCCAAGGGUACCGCCCAGACACCGACGCCUUGGCUGAACUUUCACUCUGCAAGCAGCUGGAAAGGGAAACUCUGCGGGAGUACUACCGCAAGUUUCUAACUCUCAAGUCACAACUGCAUUCGGUUGAUGACAAAAUCGCCAUUCAUUACGCCAUCAGUGGCCUUCGGGUUGGUGUCCUUUACAGCCACUGCAUCAGAGAUCCACCCUGGAAUCUCCAGGAGAUGUAUCAGCUAUUCAAAAAAUACGCCAAAUCUGAAGAGCUCCACCAGUGCAAAGUCGAGUCUCAGAGGAAACCUAAAGACCCUCCGUAGUCCGGCCAUACGUGGACAAGGCCUUCGCAGACAGACUUUGGUCGGGACAGCCACAGUAUCCCCCCAGGGCCACGGAAACGGAACUCGUGGUCAGGGCCGGGGACGUGCGCAGCAGCCGCGCAGAUUUUACUGCUUGUUCCACGGCGAAGACUGCGCGCACCCUACAAGAGACUGCCCAGAGACGAAGGCCACUAGAGACAGGAUGGCACGGGCACAACCAGCCGACAACCCUAGAGUUGUCGCGCACACAUAUCAACAACCCCCUCAGCCAUACAACCACGGCCCCGCUUCGCAUCCACCGCACCACGCAUACCAACACCGCCAUGAGGUAGAAAUCGUACCUCCCCCACCCCCACCUCCACAUCUGCAACAGCAAAACAUCCACCACCACCAGCCCGAAGCCCCGAAGCAAGAAGACUUCGCCGAUCAGCCGUUUUGUGGAGUCAUUCACAUGAUCACUGGGGGGUCCAGCGUCGACUUCGACACGAAGCGACAGAAGAGGGACCACUACCGCAGCAUCAACCACAUCGCCGUCACUGGUCCAGUCGUGCAGACAAAGUGGUCCCAUGUGCCAUUGACCUUCGACGCCCGAGACGUCGACCUGCGCAGCGCACCCCACAUCGAUGCCAUGGUUAUCAACUGCAGCGUGGCAGGCUGGGACCCGCACAAAGUCUUAGUCGACAAUGGCAGCCAGGCGGAUAUCAUUUUCCUCCAUGCCUUCGACCGCAUGGGCAUCAGCCACAACUUGCUUAAGCCUUCGGACAACCCACUGUAUGGCUUCGGCGGCAAGGGCACCUUUCCUGUCGGCAAAAUAGAGUUACCCCUCUCCUUCGGUGUAGCACCCAAUGCACGAAGCGAGCAAGUCACAUUCUACAUCGUCGACAUGGUGUACCCAUACAAUGCCAUAAUGGGUCGGGGCUCCAUCAACAAGUUUGAGGCAGCCAUUCACGGACUUUACCUGUGCAUGAAGAUCCCAGGUCCGCAAGGCGCGAUCACAGUCUAUGGCAACCAGCAGGCCGCGCGCAACAUAGAAAGAGACUUCGUUCCUCGGCAAAGGAACGUACACUGCCUCACGGCCCAGCGCGAGGUCCCCGAGUCUGCCAGCCCAACCGCUAAAGAACAUGACAAGGCACAGCUGCAGAGCAACGAUGGGACCAAGACUGUUCCCCUCGACCAGGCAACGCCCAAGCAAACGGUCACCAUCAGCGAAGACCUCACUUCGCAUGACGAGGAGAGACUCCUCUGCUGUCUGUCCAAAAAUAAAGACGUCUUCGCCUGGUCCGCCCUUGACCUGGUCGAAGUCAGUCACUCCAUCAUCGAGCACAGCUUGGGAAUCGACCCUUCGGUGAGGCCGAAGAAACAGCGGCUGCUAUCACACCCGGUUUUGGAAGGCAAACCGAAUGCGAACCAUGUACGUGCCAGGAUCAGCAAUUCACGUACACAGCAGUUACAUAACCGGACAUCAUCACACAGUGCUCGAAUAAUAACAUAAAAGAAAGUAAUAGUCGAUUACAUCAUGAUGUCCGAGACAUCCACAUAGUCUUUAACAAUAAUCAAAGUGCGAAAACGAAACAUAGAUACACGCGGCCUCCACAGGUAGCCGACUGGGGGGUUGCCGCUAACCCACGCCUAAAACUUGUCGUAAUCUUGGAACUCCUGGAAGUCUUCCUCCACGGCUUCAUCUUCUCCUGAGCAGUGGCUGCAAUGCGGACAACCUGGGGGGGCUUGGUGUGUAGAGCA